UUCCAACGCUGCUUCAGAAAUAGGUUCUUUAACAAAAUCUGAUUUUGCUUUAAAGUAAUUUUUAAAUAAAGAUUUAUGCUGCAGUAAAACUUCAGGCGCAGUAUUAGUCGGGUAACCCGCUGUAUAUAAAACCGAUUUGAGCCAACUCAUCUCUGUAGAAUCAUUUCUGGUUAAACCCAAUUCAGGAAAACUGUUUUCCGUAACAUUGAGAAGUCUGUUUACAUCGCCAAGAAACAAACCUUGAUAAGAAGUCGAUACAGUUCGUGCAACAGGAUUACCAACAUUAGACGGUGUGAUUAUUACUCUAAUGAAAAGAUCCUCGUCAAGUUUGUCAGCUACUUCAGUCCACCGGUGAAGAAUUUUAGUACCGUUUUGUUCUAAAGUCCUCGUAACUGUAAAAACUGUAACAGUAGAAGGAACCUGAACUAACUGUAGUUUCCAAGAAACAAUAAUUCCAAAACUACCCCCAGCGCCACCUCUAAUUGCCCAAAAAAGAUCUUCGCCCAUAGCUUGACGAUCAAGCAGUCUACCAUUAACAUCAAUGAUAUGAGCAUCAAUUACAUUAUCGGCACCAAGACCGUACUUUCGCAUCAUUCCACCAUAUGCGCCCCCCGUAAUAUGACCUCCGACUCCUAAACUUGUGUAAAGUCCGGCUGGAAAGCCGUGGGUUUGGCUUUUUUCUGCAAUUCUGUAAUAUACUUCGCCGAUGGUUGCGCCGGUUUGAACCCAUGCACUGUUAUCGUCAAUAUUGACGUCGACAGAACGGAGUCGUGAAAGAUCUAUAACGAAGAAGGGGUUGUCUAUUUCUGUUGCGUAAGAUAAACCUUCAUAAUCAUGGCCACCGCUACGCACUCUAAGGUGGAUGCCCAGCUGUUUUGAGCAGAUAACGGCAGCUUGGAUAUGGGUUUCCUUUAACGGGGUGAAGAUGAAUUCAGGUUUAGGAACGGAAGGUAAUAAGUAACGGAGGUUUUGAGCUGUGGAAUUCAAGAUUGAAGGGAAUGAGGAAUUGUUUGGUGUGAAAAAUGUAGAAGAGAAAGGAAUCUGGAGUUUGGAAUUGCGUUUUAGACAACGAUAUAUUACGUCAUUGUAUAUAAGAGAUUGAAGAAGCCAUUUUCUUGCGUUUGUGUUUUGGGUAAGCGAAGUUUCAUUUUUAUACAGAAUGUGAGUUUGAUUGUCAGUUGUUGAACGAUGUUACAGAUAAGACUAUGCUGUAAUAUGCUAUUGACAAGGUAAAUCAUGAAUAUAUAAAGUAAAUAAAUGAUUUUCCUUUUAUUAAAAAUAUUACUUUAAAAAGCCUUAACUGCCAUUAAAAACAUAUACCGGAUGGACGAAAAACCUUAACUGUGAUUAAACUCGAGUCGAAUUUCUGAAUUCUGAUGGUUUACACCCAAAAACAUUCUUUUAAAAAGUCUAUUUCAGAUUUAUCGUUAUAUUACUCCAUUAAAUCUCUCUAUCCUACAAAACCGAUUUGUUUGCUAAAAAUAAUUAGAAAUUCAUUACAGUGAUACUGUCCUGUUUAUGUCAUAAUAAUAACUAGCAUAUGCCUCGGAUACGCAUUUAUAAUUUGGCUUGGAAAAAAUUUAUAAUUUAAAUUAUUUUUAAUUUUAUAGUUGGUAAUUUUGUUGAAAACAAUACUGAAAAUUUCCCCAAAAAAAAUCUUUUUAAAAAUUGAGUAAGACAUAGAUAAUAUGAACGUUUAGUAUUAACAUAGUAAAAAUUAGAUGUUAUUUCUAAUAUUUAUCUAUCAUCUAUAAUGUAUCUAUAAUCUAUAUCUAUCUAAACUAUAUAUAUAAAUGGGAGAAUAAUGAAAUUUUCUAUUUUAGCCUUAAUUUAAAGUAAAAUUCCUAAUAAAUCCUUUUUAUGACUCUAUAUAUUUUACUUAUUUGUUUUGUCUAUAUAUUGUCUAUAUACAUAACUAGUUGAUGUAUUAGAAGUCGUAGGUUUUGCCAAAAUCAAAACAUAUGUAUUGCACAUUAAGAGUAUUAUGUCCAAUGAUUCUUAUAAUUAAUAGGUUCUCAUAUGAUAUUGCUUUCUAUAAGGUAAAUUGCAAACCUUAAUUCAAGUAUUAAAAAUGAAUCUUAAAUUCUUUUAAUUUAUUAUUUUUUGAAUUUUUUAAAAUAUGGUCAAAUAAUUUACUAUUAGCGUCUAUUAGUUAAACAAAAUGAAAUGAAAAUAACAUUUUUUAAAUAUAUUAUAUUCUAAAAAUUUUUAUAACUAUAAUUUAACAAAAACAAUAGAAUUAUGGAAUUAUAAUAUUGGACUAAUAUAUCAAAUAAGAAAGUUUUUUCUUUUUGUAGUCUAAUGAAAUAUUUUUGAAAAAAUAGGCUAUAAAAGUUUGAAUUAAUAAAAAAAUAGAUAUUUAAGCAUAUUUGCUAUUAUUUUUAUUUUCAGCUUUUAUAUAUGAAAGAUGAAGAGAAAUUUCAAGAGCUAUCUUCUUAUUCAAUAUUUUAUUCUACUUUUUUUUGAAAUUUAUCAAAUUUCAUUUAAUUUUCUAUGAUUUAAUUGUAUGUUUUUUUUAAAAUAGAUAUAAAGAUCAUAAACCUUUGAGAUUUUAAUUUUUUUCAGACUAGGUGAAGGUGUGUAAGUUGCUCGGGCUGUUUUAUUUGUUGUACAUUGUACUUUGUUUUAAAAAAAAUUUUAUUUAUAACUUUAUACUAAAUGAAUAAUAAAGAUAAUAGAAAAUAUUUUUAAAUAAAAAUAAAUUUGAGCUAAACUUAUUUAAAUUUUCAAAUCCUUAAGUUUAUAACUAUAUCUCAAUUUUUUAAUGGAGUUUUAUGAACCUAGAAAUUAAGUUUUAUGAAGUAACAAAAAAAAAAAAUACUCCUAAAUUUUGAUUAUAAAGCAGUCUUCAAUUCGAAUUGACAUUUGAACUUAUGUAAAAAUGCCGCCAGUGUAAACAUAUUGCCUUUCUACUGUUUGCUAAGAAGAAUGAAGAAGAAUAUUAUUUUCCAUAUAUGAAUUAUGUAUACAUCAUAGUCUAAUAUAGUACAAGGCAUAUCUAAUUAUGGUAACAAAUAAACUAAUUAUGAUGAAAGAUAUUGUUGCUGAUUUAGUUGCUAAUUUUCUUUCUAAAUAUAUGUGAUUUUAUUCUGCUAAUACUCCCCCUCAAGUUGAAUAGUGGGAUUUCCGAUAUUCAACUUGCACAACACUUCAUUGAACACUCGCCCUGUCACAGCUUUUGUAAGAAUAUCGGCUAGUUGGUCUUCUGAUCUAACAAAUGGAAGUUCUAUGAUGCCACCCUUAAUAUUUUCCUUAAUAAAUUGCCGAUCCACUUCCAUAUGUUUUGUUCUGUCAUGCUGUACAGGGUUCUCGGAGAUGCUUAUUGCUGCCAUAUUAUCACAUUUUAGCAUACUUGGAAGUUUUGGGGAAAAACCAAUUUCAGUCAUCAGCUUCUUAAUCCACAAAAUUUCUGCAACUCCCCUAACAACUCCCCUGAAUUUUGCUUCAGCACUAGAGAGUGCCACCACCUUUUAUUUCUUACUCCUCCAAGUUACUAGAUUCCCAUCGACCAGAGUAAAGUAUCCUGAAGUAGAUCUUCUAUCAUUUGGAUUUCCUGCCCAAUCUGCUUCAGUGUACGCUUCAAUAUCCAGUGUCCAUUUUUCUGAAAUAUGAUCCCAUUUCCCGGUGUGCCCUUCAAAUAUCGCAUAAUCCUCAUGACUGCCUCCAUAUGAUCCUCCUAUGGUUGGUGCAUAAAUUGACUUACAACUCCCACAGCAUAAGCUAUAUUUGGUCUAGUAUGAGAUAAAUAAAUUAACUUUCCAACUAGUCAUUGGUACCGUUCUUUAUUUGCCAAAUUUCCAUUUGUUACACUUCGAAGCCCAUGGUUGACUUGUAAUGGGUAUCCGCUGGUUUGCAAUUGACCAUCCCAAUUUUUGUAAGUAAGUCAAGAACAUAUUUUCUUUGAGAUAUAAAGAUUCCUUUGCCAGACCGUAAAACCUCUAUUCCCAAGAAAUAUUUCAACCCACCUAAGUCUUUCAUCUCAAACUCUUUGAAUAGGUUUUGACGAAGUUUUGCAAUUUCUUCCACAUCACUCCCUAUUAUGAUCAUAUCAUCAACAUAAAUUAUCAAACAUGUGAUUAGGGUCCCUCUCUUCUUCAAGAAAAGAGUAUCAUCUGAGUUACUCUGCUUAUAACCAUACUGCUUCAUUGCUACUGUGAAUCUCCUAAACCAGGCCCGUGGAGACUAUUUAAGCCCAUAAAGUGCCUUCCAAAGUCUACAAACUUCAUUUCCCUUAAAUUCACUAGAGAAAGUUGGUGGAGCUUCCAUGUACACCUCUUCUUUCAGGUCUCCAUGAAGAAAGGCAUUCUUUACAUCAAACUGAUGAAGAGGCCAGUCAUUGUUUGCUGCUAUAUAAAACUCGAAUUGUAUCAAUUUUUGCCACUGGAGAAAAAUUUUCAGAAUAGUCUAUUUCAUACGUCUGUGUAUAUCCUUUUGCCACAAGUCGAGCUUUAUAUCUUUCUACGGUUCUGUCAACUUUAUGUUUGAUGGUGAAGCCCCAUCUGCACCCAACUGGUUUUUUCCUGCUGGAAGCUUACACUUUUCCCAUGUACCAUUUUUUUCAAGAGCAUCCAUUUCUGCCUUCAUUGCUAACCACCACUCCUUUUUUGGUUUGGCCUCUUGCACGGUUCUUGGAAUUUCUUUGUUGUACAAUGUUGCAGUAAAGACUUUUGCUGCUUCUGAGAUACUCCCCCUUACUAAAUUUCUCACAGGAUAUCUAGCAGUUCUUCAAACAUAUUCUGGUGAGUAUCGUCUUGGUGGAAUACCUCGAGUACUUCUGUGGGGCAGAACACGUCAACUAUCUUCCUCUAAUUCUUCCAUGAUGGGACUAGCAUUUUGUAAAACAUCAUUAUUAACAAAAGUAGGUACAGUUGAGACAGGUGAUUCAUUUACCUCUUGUUGAACAUCAUUCGAAGGAGUAUCACUAGGAGGCAUGUUGACAUUGGUCUGUUCCUGGUUGAUGAGUGGCUCAAAAGGAAUCUCCAAAGUAUCUGAAACCCCUGUAUCUGAAUUGUUUAAUAGAGUCACACCACUUAGCCAACUUAGUGGGUCACUACAAUUCUCCCCCUGAGCACUAGGUUGGGUAAGAUAGUAAUAUUCUGUCUCAAGAAAGUCAUAAUCCAUGGUUACAUAAAUGCGCCAAUUAUCAGGAUUGUAGCACCGGUACCCCUUCUGAUGAAGUGCAUAUCCCACAAAAAUACAUUUAACAGCACAGGGAUCUAGCUUAGUCCGUUCCAUUUUUGGAAUGUGGACAAAAACUGAACAUCCAAAUACUCGUGGUGGUAGGGUUAAGGCUUGUGAGAUGUCGGUUUGGGUUUCAAGAACUUGGAGUGGUGUUUUGUGAUCAAGAAUUUUUGUGGGCAGGCGGUUAAGAAGAUAGGCUGAUGUGGUAAGAGCUUCUGGCCAGAAAUACUUGGGUACCUUGGAUUUAAUCAUCAUUGCUUGGGUCAUUUCAAGAAGGGUGCGAUUUCUACAUUCUGCAACUCCAUUUUGUUGAGGCGUGUGAGGACAGGAGGUUUGGUGGAUUAGACCAUUUUCAUGGGAAAAAGUUUUCAUGGCACCAUUCACAUAUUCUCCACCAUUAUCCGAACAAAGAAUUUGAAUUUGUCGAUUAAACUGAGUUUGUAUCAUUCGGAAAAAGGCAACAAAUUUGUCAUGCACUUCAGACUUUUGUUUCAUAAAAUAUACCCAAGUCAUGCGAGAAUAAUCAUCAACAAACAACACAAAGUACUGAAAACCACUAUUAUUUGGGUAUGGAGUAGGUCCCCAUACAUCAGAAUGUAUCAAGGAAAAAAAUUGUUUUAACUCUAGUGUUACGUGGGCUAAAUGACACCCGAUGACUUUUUGCCAAAAUGCAAGUCUCACAUGAUAAAUGAGUAUCUUUAUUUUUAAAAAGUGCAUGAAAUAAAAAACGAAGAUAACUAAGGGAUGAAUGACCUAGUCGUCGAUGCCAUAGCCAGAUUUGGCGAUCAUUAGUCCCAUGACCCAUCAAAACAGUACUCUUGUGAGCCACUUUAUCAACAUAGUAGAGACCUCCGUACUCAGUACCACGCCCAAUGAUCUCCCCCGUAUGAAUGUCCUACAAAAGGCAAAAAUGUGGAUACAUUAGGACCACGCAAUUCAAUUUUUAAGUCACAUGACUUAUAGACAAAAGCUUGCAAGACAAUGAUGGAAUAUAGAGGCUAUUUUUUAAUUUUAAUGUAGGACUAAUAACAAUUGAUCCUUCUCCUUUAAGUUCUGACAAAUCCCCAUUUGCAGUUUGAACAUUAGUUUUUGAGGGCAAAACUGGACUAAUAAUAUCCGAUGGAUCAUGUGUCAUUGUGUCAGUAACCCCGCAAUCAAAAAUCUAGUCCGCUAUUUUUCCUUUCUCUCCUUUACCUUGUUUCUCUUCUCUGUUAGGGUUCACACCGCCUCCCAUUGCAGCAAACCCUUGCUGCCCAAAACUGUUGAUCCCUUUAUCUCUCUCUUGGCUGCUGCCAUCGUUGACGGUGGCCUCCGGGAUGCCCACAGCGGCGGCCGCCUUACUCCGCUUACCUUUAUUCAAUUUGUGAUUAUCCUCCCACCAAUCGGGAUAAGCCACCAACUGGAAACAUGUUUCUCGGGUAUGUUUUUUCAUCCCACAAUGUGUGCACUGGAGUAUUGUCUUAUCCUCAUGCGAUGAUGAUUUCCACUGUUUUUCGGUGCAAUCUGAGCGGUCGCGACCCCGUCCCACGAGCGAUCCAAAUCUGCUUCGGUCCCUUGUUGUUUUGAUAGCCAGUCCCGUCCCUAUGCCUCCCGAUGAUGUGUCUACAUUGCUGGUGGUUGCCGGUUUCAAAAUCUGGAGCCUGGCGGUCUCUCUACGAACAGUGGCGUAGGCUGACUCUAUUGAGGGAAGAGGUUCCUGCUUCAAGAUAUCUCUCCUGACAGCUUCAUAUUUAUCAUCAAUGGUAGUAAGGAACUGGUAUAGUCUCUGUUCUCCAAUAAAUUUAUUGAAUAUAAUGAUGUCUUCUGGAUCCUUCAUAGGAUUUGGUUGUUUUCGAUCUAUACUUAUCCGCAUGCUUUGUAGUUUGUUGCAAAGAUUUUCUAGAGUUUCCUGACCUUGCCGGAUUGUGCUUACUUUUCAGUGUAGAUCAUAUGUUUGAAGAGAAUCUACACCACUUCCAUAUGUUAUUGCUAACCCAUUCCACAGGGAUUUGGCUGUUGGAUAUUGUGCAACAUUGUUGAUUAAGUUGGAUACGAUGUUCUGAAUAAUCCACAUAAAAACAUCCUGAUCCAAUUGUUCCCAUCUCUCAAACUUUGGAUCAGAAGUUUCUGGUGGCAUUCCGGUGAGAUGAUGUGCUUUUCCUCUCCCACCAAUUGCCAUCCGCAUGAGACGUACCCAUAAUGGAUAAUUAUCACUAUUGAGUUUGAAUCCAAUUGACAGAUUGUCAGAAUUGGAUUCAAUGGCUUGUCGAUUACCCAGUCCAUUUCGCAGAAGACUGGCUAACUGGAGGAUUAAAUCAUCAGGGGGUGUCUGAUUUCCUGUGUAAUUUGAGGUUUCUGAUUUUUUUGACAUUGUUCUUAGUUUAUUUUUUCAGGUUAAGGAAUUUGGGUUUGGAAAUCGGUUGUGGCUUUUACAGGUAAAGGGUAGAUGAUCAGCACCAAGUUAUUGGUCCCAGAUCAUUACACUGCUCUGAUACCAUGUUUGCUAAGAAGAAUCAAGAAGAAUAUUAUUUUUCAUAUAUGAAUUCUGUAGACAUCAUAGUCUAAUAUAGUACAAGGUAUAUCUAAUUAUGGUAACAAAUAUGAUGAAAGAUAUUGUUGCUGAUUUUCUUCCUAAAUAUAUGUGAUUUUAUUCUGCUAAUAUCUACGUGUUUGUGUGUGUGUGUAUAUGUGAACCCCUACCCGAAAUAUUGGCAUAUAAUGAAUAUGCCUAAGGGCAGAAAUGCACGUGAAUGUGUGAGUCGCCACCUUGUUUAAUUAUUUUAGGGUAAACUAGGAAAAAACCCUAAGUUGACUCCAAUUUUAAUUAACCUAAUUACUAGAUUAAUUAACCCAAUGUUAAAGCAUGGUCUACAAACCCGAGAUGGAUCCCGAGACUAUGUCAUGCNNNNNNNNNNNNNNNNNNNNNNNNNNNNNNNNNNNNNNNNNNNNNNNNNNNNNNNNNNNNNNNNNNNNNNNNNNNNNNNNNNNNNNNNNNNNNNNNNNNNNNNNNNNNNNNNNNNNNNNNNNNNNNNNNNNNNNNNNNNNNNNNNNNNNNNNNNNNNNNNNNNNNNNAAGGGCUUUGAAUGGGUAUGCUUAAUGCAUGAGUGUGUGUAUGCUUUGUGCAUUUUGUUUAGGCAUUUUGCCAAAGAACUGAUUGAUUUGAUUAGGCGUUUGUCGCCAAAAGUGUUGAUUUAAGGCAAUUUAGCCAAAAAAGAAUGAUUUAGGCCAUUGUUGCCAAAAGUUGAUGUGAUUUAGGCAAUUUGUUUGCCAAAAGUGAUUAUUUGAAGGCUUUUAGCCAAAAUGAGUUGAUUUAGGCAAUUUGUUUGCCAAAAGUGAUNNNNNNNNNNNNNNNNNNNNNNNNNNNNNNNNNNNNNNNNNNNNNNNNNNNNNNNNNNNNNNNNNNNNNNNNNNNNNNNNNNNNNNNNNNNNNNNNNNNNNNNNNNNNNNNNNNNNNNNNNNNNNNNNNNNNNNNNNNNNNNNNNNNNNNNNNNNNNNNNNNNNNNNNNNNNNNNNNNNNNNNNNNNNNNNNNNNNNNNNNNNNNNNNNNNNNNNNNNNNNNNNNNNNNNNNNNNNNNNNNNNNNNNNNNNNNNNNNNNNNNNNNNNNNNNNNNNNNNNNNNNNNNNNNNNNNNNNNNNNNNNNNNNNNNNNNNNNNNNNNNNNNNNNNNNNNNNNNNNNNNNNNNNNNNNNNNNNNNNNNNNNNNNNNNNNNNNNNNNNNNNNNNNNNNNNNNNNNNNNNNNNNNNNNNNNNNNNNNNNNNNNNNNNNNNNNNNNNNNNNNNNNNNNNNNNNNNNNNNNNNNNNNNNNNNNNNNNNNNNNNNNNNNNNNNNNNNNNNNNNNNNNNNNNNNNNNNNNNNNNNNNNNNNNNNNNNNNNNNNNNNNNNNNNNNNNNNNNNNNNNNNNNNNNNNNNNNNNNNNNNNNNNNNNNNNNNNNNNNNNNNNNNNNNNNNNNNNNNNNNNNNNNNNNNNNNNNNNNNNNNNNNNNNNNNNNNNNNNNNNNNNNNNNNNNNNNNNNNNNNNNNNNNNNNNNNNNNNNNNNNNNNNNNNNNNNNNNNNNNNNNNNNNNNNNNNNNNNNNNNNNNNNNNNNNNNNNNNUUUUUCGGGAGUUCCGUACCUCCAAAAAAUAUUCCGGGACCAGUUCUGCGAUCCUCGCAAUUUUUCGGACGUUUCAAGUACCAUAUUGGCAUACUUUCGGUGAACUUUCCGAAUGUCCUCCAGUCCGGCCAGACUGUUUGCAGUCCGGGGAAACAUGCUUUUUGAGCCUCAAAAUUUGAGUAUUCACAGUUGCCCCCCACCGGCAACCGCCGGGGAUGGCGAGCGCCGCCACCGUCGCCGGCGGACUCCGCCUCCGUGACCGGCAGACUUGCUAGUCUUUCGUUCCAAAGGCUUUUUCGGGAGUUCCGUACCUCCAAAAAAUAUUCCGGGACCAGCUCUNNNNNNNNNNNNNNNNNNNNNNNNNNNNNNNNNNNNNNNNNNNNNNNNNNNNNNNNNNNNNNNNNNNNNNNNNNNNNNNNNNNNNNNNNNNNNNNNNNNNNNNNNNNNNNNNNNNNNNNNNNNNNNNNNNNNNNNNNNNNNNNNNNNNNNNNNNNNNNNNNNNNNNNNNNNNNNNNNNNNNNNNNNNNNNNNNNNNNNNNNNNNNNNNNNNNNNNNNNNNNNNNNNNNNNNNNNNNNNNNNNNNNNNNNNNNNNNNNNNNNNNNNNNNNNNNNNNUUUCACUUUUACAUUCAUUCUAAACUCUCCAAAUCAAAGAGCUUUCUAAAAUUCUCUCAACCUCCUCAUCAUGACUUCUCUGGGUCACAGCAGCGAUGAGGAUUUUCUGGGGUCUUUGGGAAUUUCCCUAGACAUCGACCUUACAGCGGACGUAGACACCCACGCUUCCGUGACUGGUAUCUACGCCCAGGUAAGUUUACUUUUCUCUUUUUAUCAUGUUUUGUAUUUUACUGUUUCAUUAGUAUGCAUACUAGGGUAGAACUAAGAUAUUAUCCUUAGUAAGGAACCGAGGAAUAACUUUUAGAUUGCUUUACCUUUUAGGACCCCUACAUCAAAUUGGAUGUGGGUGAGACCUCUGUGGCCGAAAUUUCGGUCGAGAUAUUCGAUCACAACAACCCAGUUGGAGCGAUUAUUANNNNNNNNNNCUGAGGCAUUUUGACGUGGGUCGGAGCAGCCACAAAGAAUUACUGGGUGCUUUGGCCGAGAGAUGGUGGGACACCACCAAUACUUUCCAUUUCCCUUGGGGCGAGAUGACAAUGACCCCCACUGAUUUUUCGAUGAUCUCCGGGAUUCCUUUUGGCAUUCGGCCGAUCGGGCUGUAUAAUGACUAGAGGACUGAGGUCUCUCCUGAUCGGAUGGUUUGAGCUGAUAGGGAUUGACCUACCCCGGAUUGUCGGGCCAAGCUCUACUACUCCUGUNNNNNNNNNNNNNNNNNNNNNNNNNNNNNNNNNNNNNNNNNNNNNNNNNNNNNNNNNNNNNNNNNNNNNNNNNNNNNNNNNNNNNNNNNNNNNNNNNNNNNNNNNNNNNNNNNNNNNNNNNNNNNNNNNNNNNNNNNNNNNNNNNNNNNNNNNNNNNNNNNNNNNNNNNNNNNNNNNNNNNNNNNNNNNNNNNNNNNNNNNNNNNNNNNNNNNNNNNNNNNNNNNNNNNNNNNNNNNNNNNNNNNNNNNNNNNNNNNNNNNNNNNNNNNNNNNNNNNNNNNNNNNNNNNNNNNNNNNNNNNNNNNNNNNNNNNNNNNNNNNNNNNNNNNNNNNNNNNNNNNNNNNNNNNNNNNNNNNNNNNNNNNNNNNNNNNNNNNNNNNNNNNNNNNNNNNNNNNNNNNNNNNNNNNNNNNNNNNNNNNNNNNNNNNNNNNNNNNNNNNNNNNNNNNNNNNNNNNNNNNNNNNNNNNNNNNNNNNNNNNNNNNNNNNNNNNNNNNNNNNNNNNNNNNNNNNNNNNNNNNNNNNNNNNNNNNNNNNNNNNNNNNNNNNNNNNNNNNAUACCAUUCGGCGCAAAAAAUCGCUGAGGGAUCUAAGGGCCUUUUUUGAUACUUGCACUCUGGAGCAGGUAAGUGCUUAGUAAUUCUCGAAUAUGUUAAAUAAAAAGGAUUUAUUAACACAUUUGCAUCUUUCAUAGGUUGAGGUGGGGGCGAUGACUGCCCGUCUAUAGAGUUGGAUUCAGGCCGACCCCCACUUCCAGCAGUCGGAUGCCUUGUCUCGGCGGAGGGUUAUCCUGUCGCACCCCGUCUUGAGACGAUAUUACUUAGGCGAGAGAGUAGACCUUCAGAUAAGAGGNNNNNNNNNNNNNNNNNNNNNNNNNNNNNNNNNNNNNNNNNNNNNNNNNNNNNNNNNNNNNNNNNNNNNNNNNNNNNNNNNNNNNNNNNNNNNNNNNNNNNNNNNNNNNNNNNNNNNNNNNNNNNNNNNNNNNNNNNNNNNNNNNNNNNNNNNNNNNNNNNNNNNNNNNNNNNNNNNNNNNNNNNNNNNNNNNNNNNNNNNNNNNNNNNNNNNNNNNNNNNNNNNNNNNNNNNNNNNNNNNNNNNNNNNNNNNNNNNNNNNNNNNNNNNNNNNNNGGUUGAGGGCCCGUCUCAGGCUGGGCCUAGUCGCCCGUCAGGUCCUUCCAGGGCUCCCUAGGCCAUCUCAGAGGAUACCGGGCCGCUUCAUCCAGGCCUGGCCAACCUACGUCUUCCAUACAGCAUUUCCGACAAUACUUCUGACGGCACUCUGGCUUUUCGGGAGGCCUCCCUGGAGAAUGUGGAUCGCUUGGAUCUUCCUCCCGUGGGCGAUAAAUCUCUCACAAAAAGGAUUCAUAAGAGAUUUGAUAUUGACUUGUGUUUUUUUUUUUUUUUUUGUAUGAUUUCCAGGUUCCUAACGGCUUGGUCAGUCAGAUGAUGGAGCUGAUGCUCGGGAUGCAGCAAGAACUUUCUGCGUCCUGGGCUCUGAGGGCCUUUGAUGAUCAGAGGAGGAGGAGGCCCCGUCGCUGAUGCCAUGGUUGCUAGAUCUUUCUUAUUUUUCUUUCUUUGCCUGUAUUUCUGUACUGAACUUUGACUGUACCUGCACUUGGUUAGUACUGAAAAUUUUAUAUGUAUGCAUGAUUAUCCACUUUGAUUUGUAAGAAAGCGAGAAUUUUUUUUUUCAUUUCGCUUUUUUUUUUACGGCAGCGGCCGCUGCCACCGCCUCCGGGCGCAUUUUUUAUAAAAACCUGCUUUUUUUCCAGAUUCCCUCAUUCUUUCUCGAAAUUCGUGCCAGAAAGCCAGUUUCUUCUCUUUUCUCUCUUUUCCUUGUUCUUUUCUUGUCAAAAAAAUGAACCCUUUUUAUAACCACAGCAUGCACAGCUGGACUAAGAGUCUCUCCAAAGUCGAAAAGAUCAACUUAGGGAGGUACGGUCUUUCUCCUAUCAUUACCCUUAGGGGAGUGGUAAUUGACUGGGAUUUUCUACAGGCCUACAUUAGACUUUGGGACCCAGAGGCUCACGUUUUUCGGUUCGGGGCCAUGAUGGAGGAGAUGUGCCCUCUUUUUGAGGAAUUCUGCGCUAUUAUAGGGUGCGAUCCUAUAUUGUGCAGGUUUUUCUUUUAAACUGCAGGAUUUUAGGUUGGGGUGAUAGGAUAGAACCUGACGAUUCUGGGUCUAGUUUCCCGCAAUUUGAAGGGUUUCCUGCAAUUUAAUUAUAUUAAAAUAGAUUUUUCUUAUAAAAAAAAAGGUACCCAUGGUGCCCACUGUCAAAUCCAUUUAAUAUAACAGGUAAUGAGUAAUGGGUAUUAAAAGAUCCAGGCCUCUACCUUACUUGUAUAUUGUGAUUUCACUAGCAAUACUUAUUGCAAACCAAUUUAUAACCACUCAUAGCGUCAUUCAAUUGAUCAGUAUGGAGGAGGACCCUAAAAUACACUUUCUACUUUAGUUUAGACCUAAGCUAAUGCUACAAGAACUUGGAAUCAAUUAGGAACUUCUUUCUAAAAACUAAUUGCUUUCUUUGGCUUGCUUAGAAGCACCCGAUCCGAUUUUAGCGGAUUCGGAUAGUGAAUAAACUGGUCUGGAAGAGAUUCGGAUAGUAUUUUUGCUACCUAUAUCGAGUUCGGGUUCAAGAACGCAGGUAUCUGCUAUCCGUUACCCAGUUAAUAAAUAUUUAACAAAUAUUUAAAAUAAUUAAUUUUAAAAUAAAAAAUUAUACAUACACACUUUUUAAAUUUUAAUUAAUGCUAUAAUUAUUUAAUAUUUAUGUUAUAUUUUUAUUAAGUCAAAAUAAAUAAUUUUAUAGUUUGUACUUGCUUUUUAUUUUAAAAAAUUAAAAUAAAAAAUAUUCUCAAUGCUAAACCGCUUUAGAUUUUUAAACGAGUAAUUAUAAUUGAGUUUGGGACGUGUUUGAGUAUCUAAUUUAUAAUCGGGUUCGGGUAGUGCAUUUUAAGCGGGUAUGUCACCCAUUGCCAUCCCUACUGAGGAGGAUGGAAGUAAAACCAUUUCCAAGAUAUCAAUGGAGAACUUACAAAACUAAAAAACAAAAAACGGUGGAGUAAGCAACUAAUGCUCAAUGAGAAUUAUGAAUAGAAGCAGGUGGGUAGCCAUCAUUUUUCGGCCGUCCUUAUCUAUAUUCAUUUAGAAUUUCACUACCCGUGCUCGUUCAGAACUCAUUAAAAUGAUUGAGUAUUUGCAAAUUUUAAACUAUUUAAAUAUGAACUUAUUCAAAAUACAUCUUUCCACUAAUACUCAGUAAGGUACCCAUGGCAUCCAUUAUCAAAACCAUUUAAUAUAGCAGGUAAUUAGUAAUGAGAACCUAGAGAUUUAUACCCCUAUCUACUUGUGUCCUUUACGAGUUGUAAUUUCACUAACCAUAUCCAUUUCAAACCUAUUUAUAAUUAUUCAUAUGCUCAUUCAAUUGGUCAGUGCGGAACAGAAUCCUAAAAUACCCGUUCUGCUUUCAUCUCUAGUUUACACAUAAGCCAAUGCUACAAGAGCUUGGAAAUUAAUUGAGAACAUCUUUCCAAACACUAAUUGCUUUCUUUAGUUUGCUUAGGAGGAUGGAAGUAAAACCAUUACCAAGAUAUCAAGGGAGAACUAACAAAACAAAAAAGGUAGUGCUCAAUGAGAAUUAUGAAUAGCAGAGAACCUUUAAGUAGUUUACAAGCAUAUAGGGUUUGUAGUGGGUAUUCCGAUUAGAGCAAGCAAUUUUAGUUUUUCUUUUUUUUUUUUGAGAGAGGUGGAGGUUGGCUGUGAAAUUGGGUUCAAAAUAAAGAGGGGCUUUUCCAUUUGGCCCUUAGCUUAAUUGACUAAUAAAUGCACAAGUAUGUUUUCAUCUUUUCAUAUGCAUUUAACCGCUAAAUGUUGAUUUUAAGGAAAACUACUUUAUUCAAUGGUGGCAAGCUAUAGAAUACACAAUUAUAUAUUUUUCAAAGACAUGGAUUAAGUAAUUUGUAAUUUGAGAUAAACUAAAAAGGAAAACAAAGUCUUUUUUUUUUUUUNNNNNNNNNNNNNNNNNNNNNNNNNNNNNNNNNNNNNNNNNNNNNNNNNNNNNNNNNNNNNUUUUUUUUUUUUUUUUACAGAAAAAGUUAUGCACCAUGGUCAACCCGUAAGAGAGUAGAUAACAAUGCAAAUUACAAACUCCAUUGAGGAGUAUUGUAAUCUGUCAUAUUUUAGAACUGUAUUUUAAAAAAUGUCAGUUUGACUUUAAAUAUUAAAAAAAUAAUUAUUUUCAUUAUUCAUUUACUAUUUUACCCUUAUAUUUUCGCCUUUAUUGUUAUCGUUAUCGCUGUUACUGUCAUCGCCGUUGUCGCCAUGGCUGCAAUUGUCAAUUCCAUCAUGCCUUUGUCGUCGUCGUUGCUUUUGUUAUCGUCAUUGUUGCUUUCGUCGUCAUUGUUGUCGUUGCCAUCGCGGGAAAUUGAUCACUGGUCAUAGUUGUCAUUGCCGGUCAUUGUGGUUGAAUCACAAAAGCCUUACUUUGUUGAGGUUAGUUUUAGUACUACUUAAUUUUUUUUUACCAAAAUUGAUCUUAGGUUAACUUCUAAACAUUUCUGACAUUUUAUUUAAUUUGAAAUCUUAUUUUCGAUAUAUUUUAAAUUGUCGCUAACUAAAUUUAGCUAUUUUAAUUAAAAAAUUAGAGAAGGAGAUAUAUAUUAAAUAUUAAUGACGUUUUGAACCUAUGACAAGAUCUCUUUAGCCAUCUAUAUUAAGGUCCAUUUGCUAAAAGGUAGAUCACUAUUAAAAUUCCUAAGUCUUCAUCCAAUUCAUUAUUUGGUCCAUUGGCUAAAGGUAGAUUACUAUUCAUUAUUUUUAAUAAAUACAAUUAUCUAUUAAAUUAUUCCUCAUUCCAUCUCCAUCUUUAUCUUCUUCCUGAGCUUAUUAUUUCUUUCCUAAAGCCACACUUGAUUGCCCAAUGCCUAAUACACAUGGUUUUAUUUAUGUUAUCAAACAGUCAUGCAUGGCCUUUAUUUAUCUCCUUCAGCUCUUUGAAACACCAUUUCUUUAAUAAUACAAUUUCUUUUUUUUUAGGGAAUGAUACAAUUACUUCUAGAUAAAUUAAGAAAAUUUAUAAAAAAUUAUAAAAACUAAAAGGAUAUAUAAUACUUGGUAUCAAUUAAAUUUGGUCGUGAUCGUAAAUAAAAAAUAUUAUAAACAAAUACUAUGUGUCAGUUUUUUCUCUCUUUUUUUCAUUUUUUUUACUACCAAAAUAAUUUUUUUUAAAAAGUCAAACAUACCUUAAUAAAUUAAAAACAAUAAAUUAAAAAAAAUAGAAUCAAAUUGUCAGCUAAACAAAAAAUAAUAUAUAAAUAUUGUUUUUAUAAAUUAAAUCAAUUUAUUUUACUGAAACUAUAAAAAUAACCUAAAUGGAGAAAGAUAAAUGAAUAUGCUAAUUAUUUGAUGCCUUUUACUUCCUUAAUCUUUGUUAAUGCCAAAUAAAAUUUGAAUAUAAAAAAAAUUAUAACACAGAAAAAUAUAAUAAACUGAAAGAGAAUUAAAUUUUCCUACUUAUACAUAUGCUACGUAAAAGAGAAUUUUUUUUUUAAAAAACAUAUUAUUACAUUUUCAUAAGCAAAUGAGGGAGUAAAAACUCGGAAAAAAAAAUCAAUAGGAAAAUAAAUGGAGCUAAAACUGAAAAUAAAAAAUUUUUAGAAGAUAGAAAAAUUGAUGAUAUAUUGUUAUUUGCAAAUAAGAUGUAUUAUUGUGAAGUUAAAGAGAUAAAGAGUAUUGUUGAGUUGAAAAAUGAUAUAAUAAAUUUAUUAUAAGGUUAUUAAAAUUAUUGAAAAAAGGUGAAGAAUUUUAUUAUUAAUGCAGUGAAUUUGAGUCGGAAUUUUUAAUUUUUUAAAAUAAAAUUAUUAAUUAUUUUAAAUAAUAAAUUCAAAAAAUAUUACUCUUAUUAAUACUAGUAUUCCUCCCUUACAAUAAGUGUCAUUUUUUUCUUUUUUUUUAUUCCAAAAUAAAUGUUGUUUUUAAUAAUUUCAAGACUCCAUUAAUUUUUUUUCCUAAUCUACCCUUAUAUAUUUAGUAUUUCUACUCAUAAUAUAAUUGUCCCUCAAUUACUCCCUGAGGGCAAUAUAAAUAUUUUAUAAAAUAAUUUUUAUAAAUUUUAGACUAUUGAUUGUGUUCAUUAAUCCAUGUACCGAGCUAAAAAAAUUAAAUCUCUUUCCAACUUAUACAUAAGGAAAGUGGUUGUAACAAAUUCGUGGCCCACUUCAAAUAGUAGUAACUGAGAAAAGAAAGUAAGGAAGAAAAUUAAUAUCCAACAAUUUACUAAUUAUAAAUUUAUGGAAAUUUCAAUUUUAUACUGCUCAAAUGCAUAAAUAUACUCAUAUAUCUUGAAGAUAACACAAGAUUUUUAUGUAAAAUACAUAAGUAAAUUUAUAUAUUACGUCAUUGUAUAUUUCAUCAUUAAUUAUUAUAAAAAGAGCAAGUUUUACGGUCAAUUAAAAAUCAUUUAAUAGAGUGGAUUUUAGCACAAAUCAUGCCAUUUUUAUCAUGUAAUUGUUCGUUUUACAACAACUAAUUUUAAAUUUUAAAAAUUAGAUUUUGUCAAUAAUAUCAUUUCCAAAUAUAAUAAUCAACGAAUUAAUUUUUUUCUAUUUUUAAUUUGUACAUGUCAUUCUUUCAAUAGUAAUAAUUUUAAAUUUCAAAUCUACACUUUACAAUUAAAUUAGGAUGCAGUUUACUUUCCUACUACAAUCCAAUUCCAACGGCUUGUUUGUUCAGCAAAAUAAAAUUUAAUUAAAUUAAUUUCCAAAUGUUGAACUUUAAAAAAAUUAUAUUAUAUAUAUAAUUAAUACAUGAGAUUUCUGAUAUGCUAGAAAUAAUUAAUACUCAGAAUCUCAAAAUAAUUAUUUUUUCUUAUGGCAAAGUGAAGUAGUACCAAAAAUUAAUUUUUGAUUAAAUUAUUAAAAUGAUUUUUUUAUCGAUUAAGUUCAAACCAUCAUGGCCUGUAUUUAUCUAUUAAAUUAAUACACUUGAUUGCCCAAUUUCCUCAUAUUGCCCGCGAUUUGCAGAAUUUUAGACUCAUUAAAAAGAAUCUCAAAGAGAAGCCUAUACUUUCAAAAAAAAAAAACCAUAAAGCUAGAGAACAAAUAUAAUAAAAUCAGAAUAUUUGUUAAAUUAAUUAACUUUUCAACAUAAUAUAACAUACAUAAAAAUUUAUGUACGCAAAUUAUUAUUCAACCUUUCAAUUGAACCUAAACAACACAUAAUCUGGUCCUGAAGUCCAUCUCUCUGGCUUUCUUUUUCUUCUCUAAGAAACAGGAAGAGGUGGAAUACUUUGUUCAUGCCUAAAAAAGUUAUCAGGAUCAACCUUAGUUUUUACUUGAACCAAUCUAUUAAAAUUAUUUUUAAAAUACUUAAUACCCCAAACGCUAGCUUCUGUAACACUAAAAUUAUUCUUGGUGUUUAUACCCAAAUCAAGAUCCCUGUAAUUAACAUAGGCAGUUCUUGGAUUAUUACCAACCAAAGGCUCCAUAUAAUUAUAAAGCUUUCUUAUCCAAUCAAUAUGCUUUGCUUCACUCUUCUGUCCAUCUUGCCAAUUAGAAGCAUACUGAAUCAUGAAUAAAAUCCCUUUUCUGUUAGGAAAUGGAAUUUCAGAUUCUGAAAUCUCACUCAGCUUCCCUCCAAAAGGAUUCCAUAUCAUCAAUGGAGUUUCGUCUUCCAAGAAUAUUUUCCAAAGACCUUCCAACGCUGCUUCAGAAAUAGGUUCUUUAACAAAAUCUGAUUUUGCUUUAAAGUAAUUUUUAAAUAAAGAUUUAUGCUGCAGUAAAACUUCAGGCGCAGUAUUAGUCGGGUAACCCGCUGUAUAUAAAACCGAUUUGAGCCAACUCAUCUCUGUAGAAUCAUUUCUGGUUAAACCCAAUUCAGGAAAACUGUUUUCCGUAACAUUGAGAAGUCUGUUUACAUCGCCAAGAAACAAACCUUGAUAAGAAGUCGAUACAGUUCGUGCAACAGGAUUACCAACAUUAGACGGAUUAUAACACAGAAAAAUAGCAAAAUAAAAUUUAAUUAAAUUAAUUUCCAAAUGUUGAACUUUAAAAAAAUUAUAUUAUAUAUAUAAUUAAUACAUGAGAUUUCUGAUAUGCUAGAAAUAAUUAAUACUCAGAAUCUCAAAAUAAUUAUUUUUUCUUAUGGCAAAGUGAAGUAGUACCAAAAAUUAAUUUUUGAUUAAAUUAUUAAAAUGAUUUUUUUAUCGAUUAAGUUCAAACCAUCAUGGCCUGUAUUUAUCUAUUAAAUUAAUACACUUGAUUGCCCAAUUUCCUCAUAUUGCCCGCGAUUUGCAGAAUUUUAGACUCAUUAAAAAGAAUCUCAAAGAGAAGCCUAUACUUUCAAAAAAAAAAAACCAUAAAGCUAGAGAACAAAUAUAAUAAAAUCAGAAUAUUUGUUAAAUUAAUUAACUUUUCAACAUAAUAUAACAUACAUAAAAAUUUAUGUACGCAAAUUAUUAUUCAACCUUUCAAUUGAACCUAAACAACACAUAAUCUGGUCCUGAAGUCCAUCUCUCUGGCUUUCUUUUUCUUCUCUAAGAAACAGGAAGAGGUGGAAUACUUUGUUCAUGCCUAAAAAAGUUAUCAGGAUCAACCUUAGUUUUUACUUGAACCAAUCUAUUAAAAUUAUUUUUAAAAUACUUAAUACCCCAAACGCUAGCUUCUGUAACACUAAAAUUAUUCUUGGUGUUUAUACCCAAAUCAAGAUCCCUGUAAUUAACAUAGGCAGUUCUUGGAUUUUUUUCAACCAAAGGCUCCAUAUAAUUAUAAAGCUUUCUUAUCCAAUCAAUAUGCUUUGCUUCACUCUUCUGUCCAUCUUGCCAAUUAGAAGCAUACUGAAUCAUGAAUAAAAUCCCUUUUCUGUUAGGAAAUGGAAUUUCAGAUUCUGAAAUCUCACUCAGCUUCCCUCCAAAAGGAUUCCAUAUCAUCAAUGGAGUUUCGUCUUCCAAGAAUAUUUUCCAAAGACCUUCCAACGCUGCUUCAGAAAUAGGUUCUUUAACAAAAUCUGAUUUUGCUUUAAAGUAAUUUUUAAAUAAAGAUUUAUGCUGCAGUAAAACUUCAGGCGCAGUAUUAGUCGGGUAACCCGCUGUAUAUAAAACCGAUUUGAGCCAACUCAUCUCUGUAGAAUCAUUUCUGGUUAAACCCAAUUCAGGAAAACUGUUUUCCGUAACAUUGAGAAGUCUGUUUACAUCGCCAAGAAACAAACCUUGAUAAGAAGUCGAUACAGUUCGUGCAACAGGAUUACCAACAUUAGACGGUGUGAUUAUUACUCUAAUGAAAAGAUCCUCGUCAAGUUUGUCAGCUACUUCAGUCCACCGGUGAAGAAUUUUAGUACCGUUUUGUUCUAAAGUCCUCGUAACUGUAAAAACUGUAACAGUAGAAGGAACCUGAACUAACUGUAGUUUCCAAGAAACAAUAAUUCCAAAACUACCCCCAGCGCCACCUCUAAUUGCCCAAAAAAGAUCUUCGCCCAUAGCUUGACGAUCAAGCAGUCUACCAUUAACAUCAAUGAUAUGAGCAUCAAUUACAUUAUCGGCACCAAGACCGUACUUUCGCAUCAUUCCACCAUAUGCGCCCCCCGUAAUAUGACCUCCGACUCCUAAACUUGUGUAAAGUCCGGCUGGAAAGCCGUGGGUUUGGCUUUUUUCUGCAAUUCUGUAAUAUACUUCGCCGAUGGUUGCGCCGGUUUGAACCCAUGCACUGUUAUCGUCAAUAUUGACGUCGACAGAACGGAGUCGUGAAAGAUCUAUAACGAAGAAGGGGUUGUCUAUUUCUGUUGCGUAAGAUAAACCUUCAUAAUCAUGGCCACCGCUACGCACUCUAAGGUGGAUGCCCAGCUGUUUUGAGCAGAUAACGGCAGCUUGGAUAUGGGUUUCCUUUAACGGGGUGAAGAUGAAUUCAGGUUUAGGAACGGAAGGUAAUAAGUAACGGAGGUUUUGAGCUGUGGAAUUCAAGAUUGAAGGGAAUGAGGAAUUGUUUGGUGUGAAAAAUGUAGAAGAGAAAGGAAUCUGGAGUUUGGAAUUGCGUUUUAGACAACGGAGAAAAGAGUCGCCAAUUGGAACUGAAAGAAUGAAAGAAGGUGAGAGUAGAAGGAAGAGAACAAGCACUGAAUAAGAGAUUGAAGAAGCCAUUUUCUUGCGUUUGUGUUUUGGGUAAGCGAAGUUUCAUUUUUAUACAGAAUGUGAGUUUGAUUGUCAGUUGUUGAACGAUGUUACAGAUAAGACUAUGCUGUAAUAUGCUAUUGACAAGGUAAAUCAUGAAUAUAUAAAGUAAAUAAAUGAUUUUCCUUUUAUUAAAAAUAUUACUUUAAAAAGCCUUAACUGCCGUUAAAAACAUAUACCGGAUGGACGAAAAACCUUAACUGUGAUUAAAUUCGAACCGAAUUUCUGAAUUCUGAUGGUUUACACCCAAAAACAUUCUUUUAAAAAGUCUAUUUCAGAUUUAUCGUUAUAUUACUCCAUUAAAUCUCUCUAUCCUACAAAACCGAUUUGUUUGCUAAAAAUAAUUAGAAAUUCAUUACAGUGAUACUGUCCUGUUUAUGUCAUAAUAAUAACUAGCAUAUGCCUCGGAUACGCAUUUAUAAUUUGGCUUGGAAAAAAUUUAUAAUUUAAAUUAUUUUUAAUUUUAUAGUUGGUAAUUUUGUUGAAAACAAUACUGAAAAUUUCCCCAAAAAAAAUCUUUUUAAAAAUUGAGUAAGACAUAGAUAAUAUGAACGUUUAGUAUUAACAUAGUAAAAAUUAGAUGUUAUUUCUAAUAUUUAUCUAUCAUCUAUAAUGUAUCUAUAAUCUAUAUCUAUCUAAACUAUAUAUAUAAAUGGGAGAAUAAUGAAAUUUUCUAUUUUAGCCUUAAUUUAAAGUAAAAUUCCUAAUAAAUCCUUUUUAUGACUCUAUAUAUUUUACUUAUUUGUUUUGUCUAUAUAUUGUCUAUAUACAUAACUAGUUGAUGUAUUAGAAGUCGUAGGUUUUGCCAAAAUCAAAACAUAUGUAUUGCACAUUAAUGAGCGGAGCAAUUGAUUGAAAAAUAAAACAAAUUAUAUUAUAAUUUAGUAUAUAUUUAAUUUAAUUUCAUAAAUAUUUGAUUGGCGAUAUAUAAUAUUAAAUAUUAAAUUUGGCUUUCCCCGAUAUUCGUAGCUAUUUAUUGUAUAUAUAAUAAUAUAUAUUUUAAUAUUAGUAAUGUGUGGGUAUAUAAUCUCUAAUAUAGUUUUAUAAUUAUAAAAUGGUUUAAUCAAAUUGAAUUUACGGGCUACACCACAAACAUGUUAGUUUGUUUUUCAAAUUUUUGAAUACAUUGAAUUAGAAAAAGUGAAUUCUUUAUUUAAAAUUUCUAAUAUAAAUGGAACAUCUUAGAAAACAAAUUAUUGCCUAUUUAAUGAGUAUUCUAUUAAUUUUAAUUUUUAAUCUAUAAUCUAUAUUCAAUUUUAUAAUCUAUAAUCUAUCUAUAAUCUAUAAUCUAUAUAAAUGUGGGAAUAAAGGAACAGUGGGAUUUCCUAUACUAGCCUUAGUUUAAUUUAAAAUUCAUAAUAUAUCCUCUUAGUUAGAUUUUUAAUGCAUUCUAAUCGGAGAAAAUAAGUUCAUUUAUCCUUUUGAAUAUAUUUUAGUUAUAUUUUUUUAUGCAUUUUAAGUUGAGAAAAUAAAUUCAAUUUAUCAUUUUGAAUAUCUUUUUACUUAUAUUUUUAUGCGUUUUAAUUCAAGAAAAUAUGUUUAUUUAUAUUCUCUAUUUGAUCUUGCAGUAUUAUAUCCAAUGAUUCUUAUAAUUAAUAGAUUAUCAUAUGAUAUUGCUUUCUAUAAGGUAAAUUGCAAACCUUAAUUCAAGUAUUAAAAAUGAAUCUUAAAUUCUUUUAAUUUAUUAUGUUUUGAAUUUUUUAAAAUAUGGUCAAAUAAUUUACUAUUAGGGUCUAUUAGUUAAACAAAAUGAAAUGAAAAUAACAUUUUUUAAAUAUAUUAUAUUUUCAAAAUUUUUAUAACUAUAAUUUAACAAAAACAAUAGAAUUAUGGAAUUAUAAUAUUUGACUAAUAUAUCAAAAUAAGAAAGUUUUUUCUUUUUGUAGUCUAAUGAAAUAUUUUUNNNNNNNNNNNNNNNNNNNNNNNNNNNNNNNNNNNNNNNNNNNNNNNNNNNNNNNNNNNNNNNNNNNNNNNNNNNNNNNNNNNNNNNNNNNNNNNNNNNNNNNNNNNNNNNNNNNNNNNNNNNNNNNNNNNNNNNNUAUUCUACUUUUUUUUAAAUUUAUCAAAUUUUAUUUAAUUUUCUAUGAUUUAAUUGUAUGUAUUUUUUUUAAAAUAGAUAUAAAGAUCAUAAACCUUUGAGAUUUUAAUUUUUUUCAAACUAAUUGAAGGUGUGUAAGUUACUCGGGUUGUUUUAUUUGUUGUACAUUGUACUUUGUUUUGAAAAACAUUUUAUUUAUAACUUUAUACUAAAUGAAUAAUAAACAUAAUAGAAAAUAUUUUAAAUAAAAAUUAAUUUGAGCUAAACUUACUUAAAUUUUCAAAUCCUUAAGUUUAUAACCAUAUCUCAAUUUUUUAAUGGAGUUUUAUGAACUUAGAAAUUAAGUUUUAUGAAGUAACAAAAAAAAAAAAUACUCCUAAAUUUUGAUUAUAAAGCAGUCUUCAAUUCGAAUUGACAUUUGAACUUACGUAAAAAUGCCGUCAGUGUAAACAUAUUGCCUUUAUACUGUUUGCUAAGAAGAAUCAAGAAGAAUAUUAUUUUUCAUAUAUGAAUUCUGUAUACAUCAAAGUCUAUUAUAGUACAAGGCAUAUCUAAUUAUGGUAACAAAUAAACUAAUUAUGAUGAAAGAUAUUGUUGCUGAUUUAGUUGCUGAUUUUCUUUCUAAAUAUAUGUGAUUUUAUUCUAAUAUAAAUGGAACAUCUAAGAAAACAAAUUAUUACCUAUUUAAUGAGUAUUCUAUAUAUUAAUUUUAAUUUUUAAUCUAUAAUCUAUAUUUAAUUCUAUAAUCUAUAAUCUAUCUAUAAUCUAUAAUCUAUAUAAAUGUGAGAAUAGAGGAACAAUGAGAUUUCCUAUACUAGCCUUAGUUUAAUUUAAAAUUCAUAAUAUAUCCUCUUAGUUAGAUUUUUAAUGCAUUCUAAUUAGAGAAAAUAAGUUCAUUUAUCCUUUUGAAUAUAUUUUAGUUAUAUUUUUUUAUGCCUUUUAAGUUGAGAAAAUAAAUUCAAUUUAUCAUUUUGAAUAUCUUUUUACUUAUAUUUUUAUGCGUUUUAAUUCAAGAAAAUAUGUUUAUUUAUAUUCUCUAUUUGAUCUUGCAGUAUUAUGUCCAAUGAUUCUUAUAAUUAAUAGGUUAUCAUAUGAUAUUACUUUCUAUAAGGUAAAUUGCAAACCUUAAUUCAAGUAUUAAAAAUGAAUCUUAAAUUCUUUUAAUUUAUUAUGUUUUGAAUUUUUUAAAAUAUGGUCAAAUAAUUUACUAUUAGGGUCUAUUAGUUAAACAAAAUGAAAUGAAAAUAACAUUUUUUAAAUAUAUUAUAUUUUAAAAAUUUUUAUAACUAUAAUUUAACAAAAACAAUAGAAUUAUGGAAUUAUAAUAUUUGACUAAUAUAUCAAAAUAAGAAAGUUUUUUCUUUUUGUAGUCUAAUGAAAUAUUUUUUAAAAAAUAGGCAAUAAAAGUUUGAAUUAAUAAAAAAAUAGAUAUUUAAGCAUAUUUGCUAUUAUUUUUAUUUUCAGCUUUUAUAUAUGAAAGAUGAAGAGAAAUUUCAAGAGCUAUCUUCUUAUUCAAUAUUUUAUUCUACUUUUUUUUGAAAUUUAUCAAAUUUCAUUUAAUUUUCUAUGAUUUAAUUGUAUGUAUUUUUUUAAAAUAGAUAUAAAGAUCAUAAACCUUUGAGAUUUUAAUUUUUUUCAAACUAGGUGAAGGUGUGUAAGUUGCUCAGGUUGUUUUAUUUGUUGUACAUUGUACUUUGUUUUGAAAAAAAAUUUAUUUAUAACUUUAUACUAAAUGAAUAAUAAACAUAAUAGAAAAUAUUUUAAAUAAAAAUUAAUUUGAGCUAAACUUACUUAAAUUUUCAAAUCCUUAAGUUUAUAACCAUAUCUCAAUUUUUUAAUGGAGUUUUAUGAACUUAGAAAUUAAGUUUUAUGAAGUAACAAAAAAAAAAAAUACUCCUAAAUUUUGAUUAUAAAGCAGUCUUCAAUUCGAAUUGACAUUUGAACUUACGUAAAAAACCGCCAGUGUAAACAUAUUGUCUUUCUACUAUUUGCCAAGAAGAAUCAAGAAGAAUAUUAUUUUUCAUAUAUGAAUUCUGUAUACAUCAUAGUCUAAUAUAGUACAAGGCAUAUCUAAUUAUGGUAACAAAUAAACUAAUUAUGAUGAAAGAUAUUGUUGCUGAUUUAGUUGCUGAUUUUCUUUCUAAAUAUAUGUGAUUUUAUUCUGCUAAUACUCCCCCUCAAGUUGAAUAGCGGGAUUCCCGAUAUUCAACUUGCACAACACUUCAUUGAAUACUCGCCCUAUCACAGCUUUUAUAAGAAUAUCUGCUAGUUGGUCUUCUGAUCUAACAAAUGGAAGUUCUAUGAUGCCAUCCUCAAUAUUUUCCUUAAUAAAUUGAUGAUCAACUUCCACAUGUUUUGUUUUGUCAUGCUGUACAGGGUUCUCGGAGAUGCUUAUUGCUGCCAUAUUAUCAGAUUUUAGCAUACUUAGAAGUUUUGGGGAAAAACCAAUUUCAGUCAUCAGCUUCUUAAUCCACAAAAUUUCUGCAACUCCCUUAGCAACCCCCCUGAAUUCUGCUUCAGCGCUAGAGAGCGCCACCACCUUUUGUUUCUUACUCCUCCAAGUUACUAGAUUCCCAUCGACCACAGUAAAGUAUCCUGAAGUAGAUCUUCUAUCAUUUGGAUUUCCUACCCAAUCUGCAUCAGUGUACGCUUCAAUAUCCAGAUGUCCAUUUUUCUUAAAUAUGAUCCCAUUUCCCGGUGUGCCCUUCAAAUAUCGCAUAAUCCUCAUGACUGCCUCCAUAUGAUCCUCCUGUGGUUGGUGCAUAAAUUGACUUACAACUCCCACAGUAUAAGCUAUAUCUGGUCUAGUAUGAGAUAAAUAAAUUAACUUUCCAACUAGUCGUUGGUACCGUUCUUUAUUUGCCAAUUUUCCAUUUGUUACACUUCGAAGCCCACGGUUGACUUGUAUUGGGUAUCCGCUGGUUUGCAAUCAACCAUCCCAAUUUCUGUAAGUAAGUCAAGAACAUAUUUUCUUUGAGAUAUAAAGAUUCCUUUGCCAGACUGCAAAACCUCUAUUCCCAAGAAAUAUUUCAACCCACCUAAGUCUUUCAUCUCAAACUCUUUGAAUAGGUUUUGACGAAGUUUUGCAAUUUCUUCCUUAUCACUCCCUGUUAUGAUCAUAUCAUCAACAUAAAUUAUCAGACCUGUGAUUAGGGUCCCUCUCUUCUUCAAGAAAAGAGUAUGAUCUGAGUUACUCUACUUAUAACCAUACUGCUUCAUUGCUACUGUGAAUCUCCCAAACCAGGCCCGUGGAGACUAUUUAAGCCCAUAAAGUGCCUUUCGAAGUCUACAAACUUCAUUUCCCUUAAAUUCGCUAGAGAAAGCUGGUGGAGCUUCCAUGUACACCUCUUCUUUCAAGCCCCCAUGAAGAAAGGCAUUCUUUACAUCAAACUGAUGAAGAGGCCAGUCAUUGUUUGCUACUAUUGAGAAUAAAACUCGAAUUGUAUCAAUUUUUGCCACUGGAGAAAAAGUUUUAGAAUAGUCUAUUCCAUACGUCUGUGUAUAUCCUUUUGCCACAAGUAGAGCUUUAUAUCAUUCUAUGGUUCCGUCAACUUUAUGUUUGAUGGUGAAGACCCAUCUGCACCCAACUGGUCUUUUUCCUGCUGGAAGCUUACACUUUUCCCAUGUACCAUUUUUUUCAAGAGCAUCCAUUUCUGCCUUCAUUGCUAACAACCACUCUUUUUUUGGUUUGGCCUCUUGUGCGGUUCUUGGAAUUUCUUUGUUGUACAAUGUUGCAGUAAAGACUUUUGCUGCUUCUGAGAUACUCCCCCUUACUAAAUUUCCCACAGGAUAUCUAGCAGUUCUUCAAACGUGUUCUGGUGAGUAUCGUCUUGGUGGAAUACCUCGAGUCCUUCUGUAGGGCAGAACACGUCUACUAUCUUCCUCUAAUUCUUCCAUGAUGGGAUUAGCAUUUUGUAAAACAUCAUUAUUAACAAAAGUAGGUACAGUUGAGACAGGUGAUUCACUUACAUCUUGUUGAACAUCAUUCGAAGGAGUAUCACUAAGAGCCAUGUUGACAUUAGUCUGUUCCUAGUUGAUGAGUGGCUCAAAAGGAAUCUCCAAAGUAUCUGAAACCUCUGUAUCUGAAUUGUUUGAUAGAGUCACACCACUUAGCCAACUUAGUGGGUCACUAUUAUUCUCCCCCUGAGCAUUAGGUUGGGUAAGAUAGUAAUAUUCUGUCUCAAGAAAGUCAUAAUCCAUGGUUACAUAAAUGUGCCGAUUAUCGGGAUUGUAGCACCGGCACCCCUUCUGAUGAAGUGCAUAUCCCACAAAAAUACAUUUAACAACACAGGGAUCUAGCUUAGUCCGUUCCAUUUUUGGAAUGCGGAAAAAAACUGAACAUCCAAAUACUCGUGAUGGUAGGGUUAAGGCUUGUGGGAUGUCGGUUUGGUUUUCAAGAACUUGGAGUGGUGUUUUGUGAUCAAGAAUUUUUGUAGGCAGGCGGUUAAGAAGAUAGGCUGAUGUGGCAAGAGCUUCUGGCCAGAAAUACUUGGGGUACCUUGGAUUCAAUCAUCAUUGCUCGAGUCAUUUCAAGAAGGGUGCGAUUCCUACAUUUUGCAACUCCAUUUUGUUGAGGCGUGUGAGGACAGGAGGUUUGGUGGAUUAGGCCAUUCUCGUGGAAAAAAGUUUUCAUGGCACCAUUCACAUAUUCUCCACCAUUAUCCGAACGAAGAAUUUGAAUUUGUCGAUUAAACUAAGUUUGUGUCAUUCGGAAAAAGGCAACAAAUUUGUCAUGCACUUCAGACUUUUGUUUCAUAAAAUAUACCCAAGUCAUGCGAGAAUAAUCAUCAACAAACAACACAAAGUACUGAAAACCACUAUUAUUUGGGUAUGGAGCAGGUCCCUAUACAUCAGAAUGUAUCAAGGAAAAUAAUUGUUUUAACUCUAGUGUUACAUGAGCUAAAUGACACCCGAUGACUUUUUGCCAAAAUGCAAGUCUCACAUGAUAAAUGAGUAUCUUUAUUCUUAAAAGUGCAGGAAACAAAAAACGAAGAUAACUAAAGGAUGAAUGACCUAGCCAUCGAUGCCAUAGCCAGAUUUGGCGAUCAUAAGUCCCAUGAGCCAUCAAACCAGUACUCUUGUGAGCCACUUCAUCAACAUAGUAGAGACCUCCGUACUCAGUACCACGCCCAAUGAUCUCCCCCGUAUGAAUGUCCUGCAAAAGGCAAAAAUAUGGAUACAUUAGGACCACGCAAUUCAAUUUUUGAGUCACAUGACUUAUAGACAAAAGCUUGCAAGACAAUGAUGGAACAUAGAGGCUAUUUUUUUAAUUUUAAUGUAGGGCUAAUAACAAUUGAUCCUUCUACUUUAAGUUCAGAAAAAUCCCCAUUUGCAGUUUGAACAUUAGUUUUUGAGGGCAAAACUGGACUAAUAAUAUUCGAUGGAUCAAGUGUCAUUGUGUCGGUAGCCCCGCAAUCAAAAAUCUAGUCCGUUAUUUUUCCUUUUUCUCCUUUACCUAGUUUCUCUUCUCUGCUAGGGUUCACACCGCCUCCCAUUGCAGCAAACCCUUACUGCCUAGAACUGCUGAUCCCUUUAUCUCUCUCUUGGCCGCUACCGUUGUUGACGGUGGCCUCCGGGAUGCCCACAGCGGCGGCCGCCUUGCUCCGCUUACCUUUAUUCAAAUUAUGAUUAUCCUCCCACCAAUCGGGAUAACCCACCAACUGGAAACAUGUUUCUCAGGUAUGUUUUUUCAUCCCACAAUGUGUGCACCGGAGUAUUGUUUUAUCCUCAUGCGAUGAUGAUUUCCACUGUUUUUUGGUGGAAUCUGAGCGGUCGCGACACCGUCCCACGAGCGAUCCAAAUCUGCUUCAGUGCCUUAUUGUUUUGAUAGCCAGUCCCGUCCCUAUGCUUCCCGAUGAUGUGUCUACAUUGCUAGUGGUUGCCGGUUUAGAAUCUGGAGCCUGGUGGUCUCUCUACGAACAGUGGAGUGGGCAGACUCUACUAAGGGAAGAGGUUCUUACUUCAAGAUAUCUCUCCUGAUAGCUUCAUAUUUAUCAUCAAUGGCAGUAAGGAACUGGUAUAGUCUAUGUUCUCCAAUAAAUUUAUUGAAUAUAAUGAUGUCUUCUGGAUCCUUCAUAGGAUUUGGUUAUUUUCAGUCUAUACUCAUCCACAUGCUUUGUAGUUUGUUCCAAAGAUUUUCUAGAGUUUCCAAACCUUGGCGGAUUGUGCUUGCUUUUUGGUGUAGAUCAUAUGUUUGAAGAGAAUCUACACCACUUCCAUAUGUUAUUGCUAACCCAUUCCACAGGGAUUUGGCUGUUGGAUAUUGUGCAACUUUGUUGAUUAAGUUGGAUUCGAUGUUCUGAAUAAUCCACGUAAAAACAUUCUGAUCCAAUUGUUCCCAUCUCUUAAACAUUGGAUCAGAAGUUUCUGGUGGCAUUCCUGUGAGAUGAUGUGCUUUUCCUCUCCCACCAAUUGCCAUCCGCAUGAGACGUGCCCAUAAUGGAUAAUUAUCACCAUUGAGUUUGAAUCCAAUUGACAGAUUGUCAGAAUUAGAUUCAAUGGCUUGUUGAUUACCCAGUCCAUUUCGCAGAAGAGUGGCUAACUGGGGGAUUAAAUCAUCAGGGGGUGUCGGAUUUCAUGUGUAAUUUGAGGUUUCUGAUUUUUCUGACAUUGUUCUUGGUUUAUUUUUUGAGGUUAAGGAAUUGGAAUUUGGAAAUCGGUUGUGGCUUUUACAGGUAAAGGGUAGAUGAUGAGCACCAAGUUAUUGGUCCCAGAUCAUAACACUGCUCUGAUACCAUGUUUGCUAAGAAGAAUCAAGAAGAAUAUUAUUUUUCAUAUAUGAAUUCUGUAUACAUCAUAGUCUAAUAUAGUACAAGGCAUAUCUAAUUAUGGUAACAAAUAAACUAAUUAUGAUGAAAGAUAUUGUUGCUGAUUUAGUUGCUGAUUUUCUUCCUAAAUAUAUGUGAUUUUAUUCUGCUAACAUCUAUGUGUUUGUGUGUGUAUAUAUAUAGGUAUUUCAAUUGUAGUAAAAAGAAUUAAAAAGAGAUAAUAUCAACAUGAUCUCAACUGAAAAUGAAACUUUCGAUUUCAUUUUUUCCUGUAAAAUUGAAAAAAACACCAUUUUUCUUAUAGAUCAAACCCUCUUGAAGAGAAAAGAAAAUAAAAAAACAUCUGCAAAAAAAGUAGUCCCUAGCCUAACCUCUCCCCCAAUCAACCAACAACUCUAAAAUUACCCUUUAAAGGGAAGGCAAGAUUAAGGCAUCCCUGACUUAUUGCAUUAUUUGCAAAAUGUAGAGUUCCAACCAAAAAUUCACCCUUAUUUCCAUAUGUAACUCAUGCUUUCUUCAAAAUAAAAAGAGACAAAAAAAAAAAAAGAAAAUUAACCAUCUGUCAUCAAAAAUUGAAGAUGAUCAAAAGCAUAUACAGUUACAUAUAAAUUCACAUGAGAAUUAUAAAUAGGUAACUAGACCAAGUUGUCAGCCGAUAAAGUUUUAUCAAAGAGGGAUGAAAUGCAAAGGAUAGCUUACCAUUCCAAAGGUUGAACUUGAGUCGGUCCUCAUAAAAUACUAGGUGCUUAAACUCACUACAAAACUUCACAAAAUCAAGAAAAAGAAUAUCACAUCACGAAAGGGUAAAUUUUCAAAGCAAUCACAUUUGAACACUAAAAAUAGCAAUAAUACAACUAGAUAAUAUCAAAAGUAAAUUAUACCUUAUCAGAAAGCAAAAAACUUAAUUGGAAACUUAAAAAUUUUGCGCGAAACACAUACUUAUUGUAGAGAAGAAGAAAAUUUUAGAAAAAAUGAAUUGUUUUCGAAUAGAAGCAAAUGAUAUGAUGCAUGAAGGAAUAUGAUAUGUGCAUAAUUUGUUACUUUUAUUCUCAAUAUUUUUUGUGUUUCUAAAUUAUUUUUAAGUUUAACAUAGUUGGUUAGGCAAUUUUUAUCAAUUAGACAUGAUCUUACUUACUUUUGGAAUAAUAUAUUUAAUUUAAGAAAUUUCCAGCAUUUUUAUUGUCAUGACCUUUGUUCGGUUUUUCAGAAAUAUCUAAAGUUGUAAGCCUCCAAACUAGAUCCGUUUAUUCAUUGGAAAGAUGAAACAAAACUCUAUAAAUUUCUAAAAGAAUCAAAAUCCACUUCAGCCUCAAUGCCGAUCAAAAGUAACUCUGAAUCCAGGAGAAAUGUUUAGAAUGAGCAUGCACAGCAAGUUUCAGCGUUUAAUUCAUAUCUGGAGUUUUACAUGUCCAAAUAAACUCAGCCCAGGACCAUUUGAACCUUAAUAGCUAGCUCUACAAUUGUUAUGAAGACCACUAAGUGAAAUGACAUCAUUUUGAAUGCUAAAAAUGACAGAUAAGUUGAUCGUUCUGUUGUAACAUAUGUUGAAGACCUAUUUUGGUGCUUUUAUCAUAUCUUGAGCUGUGAGUAUCCAUUUUGGGAGAAUGAUAGCUCGUUGGAAAUAUGAGAAGGAGAUCUUCAAGUUUGUUGAAGAAUCAGAGAGAGAUUCAAAAAGAGAAGGGAUAAAAAAAAGAGAGAGAAAUCAGAACGAGAAGAUUUUCAAUUGAUUGCUUUCAAAAUCCCUAAUUAAUUGGGGAUUUUCUGUUGUCUUUGAGGCUAUAAAAGAAGUGAUUUUGGGAAUAUUAAGGUUUUUAUUUAGUUCAUCAUCUAUUUUGAGUAUCUUUCUUUAUUCUUUUAUUUUGGUGAUUGUAAGUCAUGGGCAUGAGUAGCUAAUUUCUUAGUUCAAUUCAAGGGAUUCAACAUCCAUUUGUAUAGUUGUGAGACAUGUUCUUACUUUAAAUUGAUUCUCUUUGAAUAUCUGUUGUUUCUUGCAUUUAAGGUGUUAGUUCUAUUGAACGAUUUGCUAAAAGGCCUAUUAGUCAAUUAUUUGGUAUGAUUAAGUGUUAUUUUAUCUUCAUAAUUGUAAUUGUUGUGUAAGAUUGAAUGUUAAUAGCAGUUAGGUUUUACUGAUUAUGUUCCAAGUUUUUGGUAAUAAUCUAACGAAACAAUAGGGUUGAAUUAAACAAUUUAUGCUUUUUAAAUUGUUAUGCAAGUUUAACUACUUCAUGUUCUUAAUGCUUUUAUUAGAUUGAAAAGAAUUGCUUAAUUCCGGUUCAUUUAAUAACUAGAGUUAAUGAGGGUGCUGGGCUCAAAUUAACGAUAAUAGGGAAGUCAGAGAAUUUAUCAUUCUUGUUGGUAAGUUUCAAUUAAGUAUUCAAAGAAAAAUUAAUUCAUAAUUUGUCUGUGAUCAUUUAUGCAUUGGAUUACAAAUCACUUUGAAUUGAAUGUUUGUUAGAUUGAAUUCCAAUUUAAGUUUAUUAGUUACUUUUCUUUUGAUUACCUUGAUUGAAUUUCCACAAACCAACCCCCUUUAAUUUAAAGAUUUCAGUCUCUAGGCUUCGACCUGAAUUCAUCACUUCUGCAGUUAAAUUCAGUAAUUAAUUUUUGGUGGAAUCGACAAACAUCAGAAUGAAUGAAUGAAUACGAUGAAUGCACCAUAAUGGAUAUAUUUGAAUUUUUAUAUAGAUUUUGAAUUUGUAAAGAGUUUGAAUUUUUGAGAUAUGAUUUUAUAUGAUAAGAGAUAGAGGGAGAAAAAGAAAAUACUGGAUAUAUAAAUAUAGAGAUACAGAUAAAAGAAAAAUUCAAAAAAUUCAAACUCUUUACAAAUUCAAAAUCUAUAUAAAAAUUCAGUAAGAAUGAAAGAAAUAAAUUAAAAAUGUAGAAAAUCAGUAAAAAAAAAAAAAGAAAAGAAAAAGAGAAAUGCUGAAAUAAUAAGAUGCCAACUCAGUUUUUCAUAGAUAUUUUUUGUUUAAAGAUUAUAUAUACAUGUAGAGAUAGAUAUUUUUUAAAUAAAUAUAUAGAACUUUGAAAUUUGUGAAUUUAAUCUCAUUUAUAUUUAUCUAUAAACUUGAGAAAUGAUCUUCUAUUGCUAAUAUUGUUGUUUGCACAUUGAUCCCUCUAUGGAACUGAAAACUUUAAGCAAUUUAUUUUCACAUUUUGUGUAAAACACAUGGAGUCCAAAAUAUUAUAAAUUAUUAACAAAAUCUCAGCUUAAAUUCAUUUGACAAAAAUAAGUGAUGUGAAUAUCUAAUUGUGGCUAGAUCAAGUCUGGAUUUAUUAGAUUAAUGUUACAGUAUCGCCAUAUUAUAAAAUAUUUUGUAAUAUGGUAAAUGCAAAGUUUUAGUUAUUUUAUAUACUUAAGUAAUAAUAAACUUUUUUAUUAAAACAGAGAAUCAAAAAAAUUAUUUUCUUUUAAAUUAGAUGUUAUAUGUUAAAAAAUAUAUUCAUUAUAUUUAUUUUAAUCUAAAUAAAAAUUUAUAUUUUAAUAUUAUAUAAAUAAAAAAUUAAACGAGUAUAUAACGAUCAAAUUCAACGUGCAACACACAUCAUAAAAGAACUAGUACUAUAUAAAAUGUGGGAAUAGAGGGAAAAAUGGGAUUUUCAAUAUUGUCCGUAAUGAAAUUUUCAAUAUCGUCCGUAAUGAAACUUUUAUCCUAAAAUAGUCUUAGUCAUAACAAAUUAGAAAAAAUUAUAUUUUAUACCAACGAGUGUUAGGAUAUGUGGUUCGAUAAUCUUCUCUCUUAAGUGAGGUCGAUAGUUUAAUCCUCAUAGAUGAAGCAAAUACUCGCUGUAAGUACCUUACCCUUCUUGGGCCGACCCGAUGCGAGCAGAAUUUAGUUUUAGUCCAAUAGGCUUGGGAUACAUGUGGUUAAAAUAAAAAAAAUUACAUUUUAUUAUUUGAUUAGAUAUAAUUUUAAAAAAUUAAAUAAAUAUAUACAGAUAAUAAAAAAGAAAAAAGUAAACUCUUCUUUUUCUGUAUGUUUGUAGGAAAAUUAAGUGUUUAUCUAACGAGGAUAGAACGUUUCAUUUAUGCAAUAUUUUUUAUUAAGUAAUUAAUUUAUUUAUUUAUUUUAAAUUUGCAACAUAGAAAGACAGAGAAAAAAAAUUAGAUCCUAAAAUUAUUUGCUUUGUAAUUUUCAAUUGUUGACUUGGCUAUAGUCUUUUUUUUUUUCGUGUAUCAAUAUCAAAUUUCAUUAAAUUACAGGUUUUGUAAUUUUCUUUUGUUGACUUGGCUAUAAUCUUUUUUUUUUUAUCUAUCAACAUCAAAUUUCAUUAAAUUACAGCAUUUUCAGUUAAAAAAUGGGUUAAUUUUUGAAAUUUAAAUUCGUAAUUUUUUUUUAAUAUAAUUUGUUUCUUGUUAUAUAUGGAAUUCCGAAAAGAUUUCUAUUUUUAAUAAUAAAUUUUUUUAUUUUUUCAUUAUUGAAUUAGUUUGUAACUAUUACUUUAAUUUAAUAAGAGAUUUAUAUCUCUUUUACAAUAAAUAGAUGAACUCUUGAUGAUUAAAUAUAAUUAAUUUUCUUAAUAUUUUGGUUACUAUAUUCUAAAUCUGUUUCACUUAAAAGAAAAUAAUGUUUAUAAAGUAGAAAAAACUUGAACAAUAUAUUUCUGUUUUAGGUCACUUUUUAGGUUUCAAAAAUUUGUGUGUUUGUACAUAUAUUCAUUUCUCUAAUGCAUUGGAUACCAUUAUUUAUCUGCUCAUUUUUUUUUAUUUACCCAACAUUAAAAAAUAAUUUAAUAUUAUUUUUCAUUCUAGUUAUAUAUAAAUAUUGAUUUGGAGUUGAGGGCAGAAGGUUAGAGAUUAAGUAAUGACUUGAUUUUCUCUUUGGGCACUUAUCAGAUUUAAGAAUUUGUGUUUAUAAAUUAAGGACUGAAGGAUUAGGUCUAAAGAUUGAGUUGAAUUUUAUAUUGAGACCACUUCAUUAUUAAAAAAUAAAAUUAAAUACGUAAGAAGUAGUUUGUACGACAAAGUCUAAUACAAAUUAAGCAAUUGUAUUUAUUUUAAUAUAGAUACAAAACCUUAUGUUUUAAUAUUAUAUAAUAAAAAAAUUAAAAGAGUAAAAAUAUAUAACGAGCAUAGUCAACAUGCAACACACGCCAUAAAAAAGACUAAUCUAUACUAUAUAUAAAUGUGGGAAUAGGAGGAGAAUAAUGAGAUUUCCGAUAUUGCCCUCAAUGAAAUUUAGAAUAUCUUAAAAUAGCCUUAGUUGUAGCCAAUCAAAAAUUAUAUUUUAUACCGAGUAUUUAGAUGAUUGGUUCGACACUCUUCUUCCUUAAGUAAGGUCGAAGGUUCGAUCCUCAUAGAUGGAACAAAUACUCGCUGAAGUGCUUUAUCCCUUUUUGGGCCGACCUGGUGCGAGCAAGAUUUAGUUAUAGCUAGUGGGCUCAAGAUAUCUAUGGUUAAAACGAAAAAAAAAAAAAUGAGGAAGAAGAAAAAAGUAUACACUUCUUUUUUUUUUUUUUUUACGGUUGUAGGAAAAAUUGUGGAUUUAUUUAGAGAGGAUAUAACAUUUUUUUUAUGCAAUCUUUUUUUAUUACUUAAUUAACUUAUUUAUUUAUUUUAAAUUUGCAACUUAGAACAAUAAAAAAAUAAAAUACUUGAAUAAACUCAUUCAGUAACCAAUAUUGGGUCCUAGCAUGAUUUGCUUUAUAAUUUUCAUUUAUUGACUUGAUUUUUUUCGAUCAAAAUCAAAUUUAAUUAAAUUAUAGCAUUUCCAAAGUUAUUUUUGAAAUUCAAAUUGGUAAUUCUUUUAAUAUAAUUUAUUGAGCUCUUAAAAGAGUUUUAUUCUUAAUAAAAAUUUGUUAUUUUUUAUUUCUUUUUCGUUAUUGAAUUAAUGUGUAACCACUGUCACUUUAAUUUGGUAAGAAAUUUAUAUUUCCCUUGUAAUAAAUAGUGGCCUCCUGAUUAAGUAUUUUUAAUUUUCUUGAUUUUUUUCGUUUGUAUCCUAAAUAUGUUUGACUUGAAAGAAAAUAGUGUUUGUAAAAUUUAAAAAAAUUAAAACUAUAUAUUUUUGUAUUAGGUCAUUUUUUGGAUUUCAAGAAUUUGUGUAUGAGAGGAUGUGUAAUUUUUCCCAAAAGUUAGAUUUGGAAAGAAUAAAAUUGAACGGGCUUGGUUUAUUUUAUUUAGAAAUUGAUUUUCCUUAUUAACGCAUUCGUUAUCCUCGAAAAAUAGUUCUCUUAUUUUGGUAAGAGUUUUAUUUUGGAGUCAUCAUCCUUAUUAGGGAAAAUUCUCAAAUUAGUCGAUUUUUUAGAAUCAACAAAUUCGAUUUUAAACCAAAGAUAAGGUCUGAGAGUUAGGUACGAUAAUAGAAAGGUGUUAGGCACUCAUACCCGCCUGGUUAAAUUGGCCUCCUCGUUGUCUAAAGAUUCACAAUUUAAUUAAUAAUGCGAUUAACUCUAAUUGAAAUGAAAAAACCUUUUCAUGCAUUUUUGUAAAACAUGUUAUCCAAGCAUAUUAUCUCAAACAUGGUAAGCAUGAAAUAUAAAGCAUCCACAAAAGAAGGAGGGAGAAGAAAAGAGUUACAAACCAUCCUAAUCAUUACAACCUACCCUCAUCCCUCCAAAAUUUUCAAACCCAAUCUAAUUAUUACAUAAGAGCAUUAAUUGAGAUCCAUUAAGAUCCCCUUACAUCUUGCAAUAAUAAAACACUAAAAUAGAAAGCAAAUAAGGAGGCAGUCAUCUAACACAAACCAUAGAAUAUAUUCAAUCACAAGAGUAAAAUAACAACCGCAAUCAUUCAAAAUGACAAAAUGAUGAAUGUUUAAUGUUUAUGAUGUUCUAAGCUAAGGUUAGAGGGUUAGAUUAAUAAAAAACUAAAGAACAUUAAAGUAAAGUGCAUAAAAAUAAAGGACUGAAAUUUAAAGUGCUGGAAUUUAAAGAACUUAGAAAAUAAAGAGCAAAGUAAUUAAGCAUUGUUAUUUAGUUUAAAAUGGGAUUUGAGUUCAAGAAUUUGUUGUUCAUUGUUAUUCACUUUCUGUAACACCCCUUCCCGGUCCACCCGUAAACCCGAAUGAACCGAGUCGAGAUGCUACAAACUGGUUGACUGUAUGGUCUGACAUGCUGAAAACAUACUGUAUAUUGAGAGCUCUUAAAAGAGUUUUAUUCUUAAUAAAAAUUUGUUAUUUUUUAUUUCUUUUUCGUUAUUGAAUUAAUGUGUAACCACUGUCACUUUAAUUUGGUAAGAAAUUUAUAUUUCCCUUGUAAUAAAUAGUGGCCUCCUGAUUAAGUAUUUUUAAUUUUCUUGAUUUUUUUCGUUUGUAUCCUAAAUAUGUUUGACUUGAAAGAAAAUAGUGUUUAUGAAAUUGAAAAAAAGUAGAACUAUAUAUUUCUAUUUUGGGUUAUUUUUUGGGUUUCAAAAGUUUGUGGGUAUGUUCAUAUAUUCCUUUCUAUAAUGCACUAGGUAAAUAAUACUAUCACUAUAGCCAAAAUGAUUACCAUUAUUAAUUCAGAUUAUGUUCUCAUUUCUUUUCUUUUAUCUACCAGUAAAAAAAAAUUUAUUAUUAUUUUUCAUUAUAGCUAUAUAUAGAUAUUGAUUUGAAAUUAAGAGCAAGGGUUGGGGAUUGAGUGAAAACUUAAUUUUCUUUCUGAGCACUUAUCAGGGUUUUAAAAAUCUGUAUUUAUAAAUUAGGGACCGAAUAAUUAGUUAUAAGGAUUGAAUUGAACUUUAUUUUGAUACCACUUCAUUAUAUAAAAAUAGAAUUAAGUACAUAAGAAAUAAUAUUAUAAGUAGCUUAUACGGCAAAGUCUAAUACAAAUUAACCAAUUGUAUUUAUUUUAAUCUAAAUAAAAACUUAUGCUUUAAUAUUAUAUAGAUAAAAAAUUAAAAGAGUAUAAAAAAAUAAAAAUAUGAGGAGCAUUGUCAACGUGCAACACACGUUAUAAAAAAGACUAGUAUAUAUAAAUAUGGGAAUGAGGGGAAGAAUAAUGAGAUUUCUUAAUUUAUUCUUAGUGAUAUUAUACAAAAAAAAAUAUAUAUCCUUAGUCAUGACCAAUUAAAAGAUUUUAAUUAAAAAUCCUAAAAUAUGUUUAGUCAUGGCAAUUAAAGUAAAAUAUUUUAAUUACAAAUCCUAAAACAUCUUUAGUUAUUGUCAAUUAAAAUAAAAAAUUUUAAUUGAAAAUCUAAAAUAUCCUUAGCAUGAUCAAUUAAAAGAUUUUUUAACUAUAUAUAUAAUAUUUUAGUUUAAAAAUAAAUAGUUCAUGGCCGAUUAAAAGAUUUUAUUCAAAAAUAUAUAAUAUUUUAAUUAAAAACAAAUAAUGCUAUAUGGUUCUUAGAGAUUAUUCAAGUCUAAAUAACUUUAUUAAAAAAUUUUAAACCAUAUAAAUAACUAUAAUGAAUGUGAUUUUUUAAACCAUAAUCAUAAAUCAGACUCAAUCAAAAGAUUUUAAUGAAAAAUAUGUAAUAUUUUAGUUAAAAAUAAAUGAUACUGUACAACUCUUAGAUGUUAUGUUAUGUGUUUUUAUUCGAUUCCAAUUUUCUUUUUAUAUAUAAAAUAAUAUUGAUUUUAUGCAUUUAUAACAUUAUAUUAAUAAUAAAUAAGAGACAAAUAUUGAGAUUAAAAUUUUCAGGGUUUAUAUCAAAUAAGUUCAACGUAUUCAUUAAUUUACAAGUGUGAGAACUAACUGUUAUCCGUCAUAACUAUUACAUUUAUAUGGAUUUAUUAUUUUUAUUUGCUAUAUAUUGAUGAUAUACUUAUUUGGAAUUUUUAUGGAUUGCAAAUUUAUAUUAUAGAUAAAUAUUACAUAUAAAUAAUUGAAUCACGAAUACAAACAGGUACGAGAUAGAAUUUAUAAAGGAGGAGGGCAAACUACUAUAAAAAUUUAUUAAAAGAAUAUUAUGAAAAACAAAAAAAGGAGAGGGUAAAACGGUUAAAGGUAUCUUCUAAAUUCGUUUAAGCCAAGGUUUGAAUCACAGAGUUGUUAAAGGAAAUUUUUUUUCCUAAAAUAGGAGGGGGGCAAUUGCCCUUUCCUCCACAAGGCAGCUUCGUCCUUAAGUAUAAAUAAUGUGCAAACGCAUGUUAAUAAAAUUGGGUAUAUGGAGGGAGAACAUUAGGAUUGCAAAGAAUAACUUACCAAAUUUAUAUAUUGAUAAUAAUAUCUUUAAAGAUUUUAAUUUUAUUUGUUAAAAAUGAAAGUAUUUAAUUUGAUUGAUUAUAUUAGUUUUUUUUAUUUAAAUUUAAAUUCUGGUGACUAAAAAAUAAAAUAAAAAUAUUGAAAACUUAAUAUAAUCCCUAAUUGAGAAGUUUUAUACUAAUUAAAAUUUUAAAUUGAUUACUCUAUUGUAAAGUUUUAUCUUAUCUUGAUUAGGAAUUAUAAUCCUAUUUUAGAAGUUUUAUCCAAUCUUAAUUAACAACUAUCUAUCUAUAUAUUUCUUCAAAAAAAAAAUAUCUAUCUAUAUAUCUAUCUAUCUUUCUAUCGACACACACUUUAUCUAUGCAAAUUUUAUUUAUUUUGAUUAUUGAGCUUUAUCCUAUCUUAAUUAGCAAUUAUAUAUUGCAUAUCACCACUCUAUCUAUCUAUCUACCUACCUAUUUAUAUAUUCAUCAGUCAAUUUUUGUGGAGGAGUUUAUUUUGUUAACAAGUAGUAGGAAUCUCUUAAAUUUUUCUCUUUUAACCAGUGGAGCUAAAGGUGCACUCAAUUUUUCUUCCCUAACUUGGGGUUAGGUACUAUUUUUUCUCUUAUACCUUUAUAAUAUUUUAGUUGGUUAGAAUUUUGCAUCUGGCUACUUCAAUGUUUUCCUCUACUAGAUUGCUCAUUUUGAAAGACAAUCUGAGCUUUCGAAAUGUGACUAAAAAUAAUAAGUUAAAGCAUUUAAACUGGCUAAUGUUUUGCUACGGUCCCCUCGUGCAUUGCAAUGUUGUCUAGAAUGUAUUGUUGGGAUAUUCCAAUGAAGUUUGUGGAUUUCAAGAGGUUGUUCCUCUCUAAAUUAAUGCAUUUCCUUCAUUAUCGGAAACUUGAUCAAGGACAUUGAUGAUAUUUAUCUGACUGGAACUGUCUUCUUGAGAUGGAAAGAUUUCAGUAGGACAAGGAAGAGUUGGAGGAGAUGGAGUAUCUGGAAUAACACUUUGAGAUAAAGGAGCAUCGAGAUUUGGAAGAUUUUGUGGAUUUCUCCUAACUGCUUCCAUGAAUUCAUUUUGGGUUGGUGAAAUUUGAAAGUGAAUUCUGCUAGUGGUCACCAUUUCAUGAGGUUUGAAAAGAGGACUUAGACCCUUAUUUUUCUAUCCACCUGAAAAAAUAAAAAGAAAAGAUUAGUAAGCAGAAAUAAAACCAAAUAUAAAUGGAAUGGACUCUCAAAAUAUCUAAAUUUUGUAAUUUUACAUUUUUUACAAAUGGAAAAAUGAGCUCAGUAUCAUUGACAAUUAAAGAAAAAAAACAUGAUCAACUUGAUAGGGACUAACUAUGUUAAUGAAUGUAAUUCCUCAAAUGACACUAUAUGAAAUAUCUUCAGCAACAAGAAAUGUGGUCUUGAUCUGAACACCAUUGUUGAGAACAAAAGCUUCUGCUUUAUGCUAAAUUUUCAAAGCAACAUUAUUUGUAGUUCUCGGACCAUCACUUACUAUUUCAAGAUAAUUUUUGGUUACUAUUCCCGUUUUAAUGCAACGGUGUCAACCUGAAAAUCAUCUUGAAAAAUCAAUGUUAUUUUGAUAAAAUACUUUUGCAAAGAUAUUUGUUUCAAAAUACAAAUGAAGUCUUCAAAAAAACUUUGGGUACUUGAAACGAUGAGUUUUGUUCAUUAGCAUGUAUAUAAUACACUUUAUCUAUUCAAAUUUUCUUUACUUUCAAUAUCAAGAAAUAUUUUCUUAUUCUAUAACAAAAUUAAAUUUUGAGAAGGACACGAGAGAAAUAUAAGAAAUUAGAGGGUUGAAAAAGAAAGGAGACCACAAAGUGGAUUGAAUGUAAUAAAACAAUUCCGUCUGCUUAUAUAAAUUUGCGUGUCUUUUACAACAUUGGUUUACUCUAUUUAUAAUAGACCUUAAAACCUCACUUUAUUAGAUAUUUUCUCAUCACACAGUACACCUGUAGUAUUCCUCCAUUUCAUUCAUCCUACUUGAAGUCUUGAGAAACAUCUUCAUCCAUCCUUGAGUACAUUACAAACAUCUUCUGGAAAAGCAGAGCCUAGAGAUUUAUGUUGAUUCCACUUGGAGACUUCUAUAUUUUUAGUUCAUUUAUUUCAAAGGGAAUAUAAAGAAAUAAAAUAUCAAAAGAGUAAAAUCAAUAAUUGUUCAAAUAAAAAAAAAAAAAAAAGCAAAACUCAAAAAUUUGCUGGCCCAAUAACAAUGAAGUAGAGCAACCUCACCAAAGCCAUCCAAUAUAAGAGUCAGCAAUAACAAAAUGCUGGACUGAAGGAGGGACCAUUUCGGUUUUGGGCUUGCACUAGAAAAGGCCCAAUCGGCUAAUUAAUGGGCUAGCAUAUUUCCUUUUUCCAUGUACUGGAAAAAAGGAUACAAACCCAAAGUGAUAUUGUUGCAGUUCCAACUCUUUGCUUUUAUAGUUUCCGUGUUAUGUUACCUGGCUUCGUCAUAAAUCUUACUAGAACGUUAUGUAGAUGAUGAAAUUGGAAUAAAAAAAAUUUUAAGGCAUGUCUAUUUCAACUGCUACUAUCUUAUUUUAAAUUGGAUUAACUGAUUUAUACUAUAAUUUAAUAUAUUGAUAUUAGGAUAUUUUAUUUUUAGGUUUAUAGAUUAAUUAGAAAGAGUGAGCGGUAGUUGACUUAAGUUGAAUAGUAAUUCUUUACAUGUGUUCAGCAAUAGUUUUGUAAAUAGCUUUUGUCAAAACACGAAUAGCUGUUUUUAAUAGUACUCGAUAACAUAGCAUUUGAAUUAAAUUUUAGAGAUUAAAAUAACGUUUUAUAAAACAUCAAUCCUUAUAACAUUUAAUUUUUAGCGUUUUAUGAAUAGCUGCUCAAACAGUUAACUACUACUAAAAUAAUUAAUAACUAUCGGCCAUCAAAAUAACUAAUUUUUUGACAAAUAAGCUGUUUAUCAAUGUCAAGUUCAAUGAGGUUUAGUCUCAAUAACUCAUUUUACUAUUACACAAUUGAAAUUCCGAUAUUAUUGUAUUACAAUAGUUACCACAAAGUGCAUUACUAUUAAGUUAAUAGAUUAGAUUUUUUUUUUUUUUAAUACCGAAUUUUAUGCCGACUAAACAUUGAAGUCUUAUUUUUUCAAAUAUUUUAUUCGGAUAAUCAAAUAAUUAAUACUGUAAAAACAGGUCUAAGCCCACGGACAGCUCAAAAUUGCUAGUAUUUUUUUAGAUACGAAAAAAAGAAUUUAGAACUGUUUCAAAAUAAUUUUUUUUUACAUGGCCCGUUUUGAGAGCGAGCCCAUGCGGGCCAGACUGGAUAGAUCCGUAGAUUACCCACUUUAGGAGAUCAAAGCAAACCACAAUUGUGUUAUGGUAAAAGUCACAGGUAGCGGUGUAAAAUGGUUAGGAAUAUCAAUCUAAAUCAAAAUUCCAAAUCGACUUUUAAUUUGAGAUGGAAUGUAUUUUUUAAAAUAUUGAUAUAUGGAAUAUGGAACCAAAAAUUAAUAGAAAAUGCCAUAUUCCGAUCCAUAUACCGAAGUUUUAUUUUUAUUUUUUUUUUUUUUAGUUUUAUUUUAAUAUUCUAACAAUAAGAUAUUAAUCUUGAGUAAAAUGUUUUCAAAUUUGAACAUAAAGACUCUUAGUUCAUUCUAAAAAUUAUAUAGUGUUUAACAAAAUAAUUUAAUCAUAAUAAUUAUUAAUAUAGGCUUGAUAUCCAGGAGUCAAAUUAAAAGAAUGAAAUAUACUUUGCAGAGUCAUAAUUUGCAUGUUUAUCAUCGAUCUUCUUAAGUCUUAUCAAGUAAUUAGGAAAAAGUAUUGAUCUUUAUUUUUUUUGCUUGAUAAGAAAAUUUCUUUUUUGAUAAUUAACUUUGAAAAAUUUCUGAAAUUUUUUAUAUGAAUUACUUUCUUAACCUUUUUCUUGCUUUUAAUUCUUAUUUCUCUUUCUAAAUUUCUUGUUUUUGAAUUUUAUUAUAUCUAUUUCAUGGUUGCACUAACUUUUAUAUUUUGUGCAUUUGAUGUUGCUUUGUUACUAAUUGAAUGAAAAGUUGUCAGGUGAAGGUAUAUCCUCAUUUCUAAUCAAUAAGCUUGAAUUUAUUAUUUUAUUGCAAUUUAAUUAUGCUUUUUAAUAUUUAUAUCUAAUUUUAAACAAUUAUAUUGAUUAUUUUUUUCUUAAAUUUAAAAAUUUAUAUCUUAAAAUAUAUCAUAAUAGAUUAGAUUUGUGUUUAUAAUUUCAAAUUUUGGAAUUAUCGAAUUCCAAAAUAAAUUUCCGUAAAAAUAGUAUGAAAUGAAAUUUUAAAUUUCAAAAAAUAUUUGGAAGGGAAUAGAAUGAAAUUUUGAAUUCUAAAUUUUGAAAUAGAAUCAGAACGAGGGCAUUCCGUUCCAUAUUAUCCGAAUUACACCCCUAGACUCACAACUCUGAGAAUUACUGCAGUCAUAAUUUAAAAAAGGAGGACAGAGAUUUUCACAAAAUUUUCACACUUGUGGAUCUGAUUUUGUAUAUUAAAAUUACAUCUAGACAAGUUAAGAUAGAUAUGGACUGACAUUUAAUCUAUUAAGUUAUCCCAAUUUAGUUAAUCGUUUGCAUGAGUUUAAUUAGUUUUCAGAAUGGAAAAAAAAAAAAAAAUUAAAAACAAACAUGUUCUAGCCAGACCGAGCAUGAAAAUUGAAAGCUCGUUUUUUAACGGGCUCUUUUGGCUCGGCCAAUUUUAUGACCAAGCCCUCACGGGUUGAGUUGGUCCAGGCUGGACUACCCAUUUUGACAGUAUACAAACAAGGGAUAUUAUACUAAAUCUCAGUUUUUAAACUUAUUUUUAAAAAUGUCAAUUUGACUUUAAGAUUUAAAUUAUUGUCAGUUAAGAUAUAUUUUUACUUUUGUGACUUUUUUUUAAUUUGUAAGGCGUUAGUUUGUUAAUAUUUUAGUAUUUUAAUUUUUUAGUGUUUCCUUUUGUAUUAAUUUCCUAUUUUCAUUUUUUUUUCCUUCUUUUAGUUUGUUUUCUUUUUUUGAUGCCGUUUUUUUCAGCCGACAUUCUUCACGCCAUAUUUUCACAAGCGAUUAAUUAUUCUUCUUCUUUAUCUUUCAAUCGUAGACUUGAACUUUGACUCAGAUGGCAAGACCGACAUGCGAAACAUCAUUGCAUGCACACUCGGAGUGAGAGUCCUCACCAGAUAAAGAUUUUUGUUCUACAAUUUAAUUUUCAUUUUUGUUUAUGUUCUUUAAUGAAAAAUCAAUUACUAAUUUACGAGGUCAUCUCCAUAGAUGUUAUUUUGUUUUGAAGAGACAUGGUAGGACUCUAGAUUCUGUUGGAUUAAUACUGAUACAGUACAUAUAUAUAUAUAUAUACCGGAUUUACUUAAUUUGAUCCAAUUUAUUAAUUAUACACACACACACAUACACACACACACCGAAUUUACCAUUUAAUCGGAAAAUCUAGUUUUCGGUUGUUUGUUUCUUCAAUUAUGGAAAUGAAGUCACAAAAUUAUUUUGUAUAUAUACCUGAUUUUUCUAUUUUCUUUUCCUAAUUUAUCUGAUUUUGUGGAGGUUGUCGUGAGUGAAGGAGAGACGGUUAGUUUUAGGGUUGAUUCUGUUUGGACUUUAUUUUCAGCAUGCUUAUCGAGAUGGAAGAUUGCGCGGUUAUGAGAUUAUUUUGAAGCAGAUGUGGUUAGUUUUAGGUUAGAGCUGACCGUUACUUAUGUUUUAACAGUUGUCAUUUAUUUUGCAAAAUUAAUUUUGGUAUUAUUAAAUUUAUUAUUAUCUUAAUAAGUAUCUUUUAUGCCAUUUAGUUAAAUUUGAAACCUUAUAUCUGACAUUUGUUAAAUUAUCCCUGCAAACAACUCGUCCAACAAAAAUAGUAAUAGCAUUUUGAAAGUGAAAUAGUAGAAAAAAAAUGAAUUUAAAGAUAACUUUAAUAGAAUAUCGAAAACCGAAAAUGAUCUAUCUUUUGUUUAUGAAGAAAUUAUUAAUUCAAUUUUAUGAGUAUGUUGGAGUUAUCCUUAAAAUACUUAGCAUACACUUCACUUUUCUAAUGCGUUGAAGCGAUCCAACAAAUCCUUUGUAUUCACUUUUCUGGAAUUCUUGUUCAAAUAAUUAUUAAUUGCUCAAAAUAAUAACUAACUAAAACACAUUUUUGUUUUUAUAUUUAAAAAAAAUAAUAAUUUAGGCUUAUUAACGGUGUCAAGGCCAAAUAAGGAAACAUCAUUAAUAUAUUGGCAUUAUUCUCUUGCUAAGAGAAAAAUACAUGUUGGCGCUGUACUCUUGGGUUGAGAUGUUGUUAUAUUAAUAGAACUUACUUCCUUUGUAGGUUGAGAUGUUAGAAGAAAUAAUGUGAAGUGAGAGCUAUGCCUCCCUAAAAUCAAAUUUAGAAAAUAAAUCAUUUUCCCAUUUGAUAAGUGCUAAUUAGGUCUUUAAGUUUUACAAGUAAAAUUUCAAGUUUAAUCUUUAAUUGAAGCUUAAUUAAUACUUCCUCCAUCAUAUUAAUCUUUACAAAAUUUCAAAUCACAUAAGAAUUAGGAAAAUCACUGAACAAUUUCAAUUUUAGAAAAAACUUGUUAUGAUUAACUAAAUUAUCCUUUUACUCCAAUCAUCGAUUAACAGAAAUAAGUUUAGUUAAGAUAUCUAGCUAGAUAAUCCCCUAACAAAAUCUAGGGUAAAAUUGAAAAAAAAUAAUUAAUAACUUCUAAAUAUUCUAGAAUGCGAAAUGCAAUGGGAAAAAGAAUUAACAUUUUAUCGAGAUUAAUGAAACUCAGACAGGAGUGACUGUAAAAUAUUUAAGAAGAGAAGCCUUAUACUAGAAUAAGAUAAAAAGAAAAGCACAAAGGAAAAGACAAAUACAGAAAUCCUUACAUCAAAGUAAAGCAAAAUCAGAAUAUUUUGUCAAACAGAAUUCUUACAUAAACUUUUCAACAAUACAUUAGACCAUAAUGAGAUAAAAUAUAUUUGUAUAAAAAUUAUUGUUUCGUCUUUAAAUUAAACCCAAACACCAUAUAAAUCUAGUCUUUAACUCCUCCUCUUCCCUUUCUUUUUCUUCUCAAAGAAACAGGAAGAGGUGGAAUGCUCUGUUCAUGCCUGAAAAAAUUAUCAGGAUCAACCUUAGUCUUCACUUGCACCAGUCUAUUAAAAUUAUCCUUAAAAUACUUGCUACCCCAAGAAGUAGCUUCUAAAAAGCUAAAAUUACUCUUCUUGUUCACACCCAAAUCAAGAUCCCUGUAAUUAACAUAAGCAGUUCUCGGAAACAUUGAAGCAUAAGGGGCCAUAUAAUUGUAAAGCUUUCUUAUCCAAUCCAUAUGCUUGGCUUCACUCUUUUCUCCAUCUUGCCAACUUGUCAGAUACUGAACCAUGAACAAAUUCCCCUUUCUAUGAGGAAAUGGAAUUUCAGAUUCUGAAAUCUUGCUCAUCAUUCCUCCAAAAGCAUUCCAAAUCAUGAAUGGAUUUUCCUCUUCCAAGAAUCUUUUCCAGAGACCUUCUAGUCCAGUUUCAGGAAUAGGUUCUUUAAUAAAAUCUGAUUUUGCUUUGAAGUAAUUUUUAAAUAAAGAUUUACCCUGCAGUAAAACUUCAGGUGCAGUAGUACUCGGGUAACCCGCU
RNAcentral lists this long non-coding RNA (46122 nucleotides) under Jatropha curcas. RNAcentral's name for it is "long non-coding RNA (JCUR_LNC001473)". The record is from RNAcentral. Lineage: Eukaryota; Viridiplantae; Streptophyta; Magnoliopsida; Malpighiales; Euphorbiaceae.